UGUAACAGUCAACAUCCAUGUCUGGCUAUGGUCUGUCCCCAUUUAAUCAAGAAUCAGCCACCUCAAACUCCACAGCAGAGUUUUCUUCUUAGUCAUUGGAGUAUCAAAGGCUGUGAACAUUGCCUUUUCUCUUGAAUUAACUUCAAACUCCAUAUCUUUUUUUUUUUGAAAGAAUUUUAAAUUUAUUCACUUCAAAAAACCUCUGUGCAACCUAAUGCUUUUUUGUACAGAAAAAAAAAACUAUUCUAAAAUUUUUGAUGAAUAAAUCAUCUACUUCCAAACCAUAUCUCCAUAUUUAUUUUCAGAUAUCUUUCUCAAAGAUGAGACCCUAUUUCGAAUAAGCUUAUCCAAAAAGAUGAUGAGCCGGGCUGAGGAUUGAGGAGCUUCUUCAACACAGCCAGAUAGCAAAGGCUGUAGCUUGGAAGCUAUAACGAAAGAGAAAGGUGGAGGUUCUGUCCUGUAGACCCACCACCAGUCUUUGCAUCAACUGAUUCUAAUGAUUUGAAAUUCCUAUGCCUGCCAGAUCCCUUAUCGUUCCUCGCCACACAAAAAGUUGUUUGAAACCUUACGUUGGAAUAUAAUUUAUGCUUACCAUGAAAGUUCCUAGUGUUUAAUCCUGGUCAGAUCAUAUCUGGUCACGAUAUCCUGCUUUCUAUCUCCCUGCGUAUAAAAGCUGCUGAAAUCUAUUUUCCAAAGUUGAUAAUGAAACAUGCAUGAAGCUGUAGGCUGUAACUGUUCACUAUUGCAGAUUGAACAAUAAUUGUAGCUUGCUCAAUAAAUGCAGUUCUCUACUAGCAGACUAGGGGACGACCAAGACCCUAUACGUAAAUAAUACGAAAUAUUUCUCUUUUAAAAACAAUUAAAAAAAGACUUCCAUUUCACAAUUAUUUUAUCUCUUCUUCUUGUUGGUAAAGAUUGUGACUAACCAACCAAGUCUACAUAAUCUAUAUCGAUGAUGUGGAUCGUCUUCUUCUUCAUCAUCAUUACAAGCUUCUUUGCGACUCUAACAACACCCACUUCACCAGCUCUCCAUCCAGAUGAAUGUAUUAAAUCUUGAUUCUUGUAAAUAUAAAAAUUCAAGAUCAAUAUUUUUUUGCUUAUAUGAACUUGAUAACUUGUGCAGUGCAUGCGCUUGAGGAGAUAGCUACUACACUUGGUAUAAAGAGAGUGAACCUAAGUUACAAAGACCCAUGCGAUUCACAAAGUCUAAUGAUCAUAAAACAAGCUGAUAGGAAUCUGGAGGUGAACAACACCAUUGCUUGUGACUGUAGCUUCAACAACAACAUGACAUGUCAUAUUACAGAAUUGUGAGUGUUAAUAUCUUUCUUUUUUUUACUCUCUUAUUUACUUCUUUAGUUUGCUUUAAUUUCGACAAAUGCAGAAGUCUCGUGAAUUUAACUCUUGUGGGGAAAGUUCCACCUGAGUUAGCCAAGCUUCGACAUCUCCGGUCAACGUAAGUCCAAAGAUUUGAUAAAUUUAACAAACCUUUUUACGUUACAAGUAGAAGUAGAGGGUGAAAAAGAUCAUCUUAUGUGCGAUAGGUUAAAGAGAAAGCAUGUUCAUGUGUCAGACUCAGGGGUUUAGUGGGAAUUAGAUUUUUGUUGAUUGUUAGAAUUCUUAAAUUCUGAUUAUAAAACUUGUUAUGACACAAAUUUUAAUGCAUCUUCUAAAAAUAUACAACACUUGCUACAAAUUUAACAAAAUUAUAUAAAAAAAAAACAUAUCUAUGCAAAUUUAACAUAAUCUCUCAAAAAUCAACCUAACUCUAUCAAAAUCUAAGUUCCACUAGUUUCUAUGGAUUUGCUAGACAUUUUUCUAUUUUUACUACAAGAACUCACUACUUAAAACCAAGACAAUAAAGAAAUGAAAAAAAAAGGAUUUGCAGGAUAUUCUUAAAGUAAAGUUUAAAACUUGAUUGAUCAACAAAACCUGUAGCCACUAGCCAGAGUAUCUCUACAAAGAGAAACAUAACAAAAGUUUCUUACGAGUUUUUUUUUCUCUUACUUGUAGCGACUUAUCCGCCAACUACCUUACUGGCACGAUUCCACUCCAGUGGGUUUCAAUGCCAUAUCUCACUUUCAUGUUAGCUCCCUCUCUCUGUCUCACUCUGAUACUUCAUCUUCAUGAUUUACGAAUAACUUUGAAUAUUCUCGCAGCUGGCUCUGCGGGAAUCGUUUGUCUGGGAAUUUACCAACUUGGUGGCAAAACUUCAAGAAUCUGAAAUUCUUGUACGUCUCUGAAUGUUUCCCACUUCUGUGGCUUUUGAUUAUUAAUUUCAAGGUUAAAAUUUCCAAAUUCAAGUGGAUUGGCUAUAACCCUUUAUAUAUAGUUAAUUAUUUCUCCAAUUACCAAUUUAGGACUUCAUUCAUUCAUACAUUAACACUCUCCUCACGCUCAAGUGGAGACAACUAUGUGAAAACAUCCACGGAAUGCCCCAACAUCGGGUGGCUAUGAUACCAUGUUAAACUCGGACCAACCUGACUUUAACAUGGUAUCUGAGCCACUAGUACAUGGAAAACAACUCACUUGCUCUUGUUUUAUCCGGUAAAUAAAUUAAUAGAAAUUUUCUAGCAUAGACCUAAAUUUUUUUUUGUCACAAAUAUAGAUCUCAAAAAUAAAAAAGACCAAAAUAGAAUGUUUUAUAAAAAAAAGUAAAUAUACACUUAUACUCCUAGGGUUAAUUAAUCUAGGCAUUAGGGUUUAGAGUUAAGGGGUGGAAUUUAGGGUUUAGGGUUUAGGGUUUAGGGUUUAGGGUUUAGUGUUUAGGAUUUAGGGUUUAAAGUUUAGGGUUUAUGAUUUAGAGUUGAAGAGUGGAGUUUUGGGGAUAGGAUUUCAAAUUUUAAAAAAUAAAUAAAAUUUAAAAUUUCCAAAAUAAAAAAUGUUAUUUUGGUCAUUUUAGUUUUUGAGGUCUAUUUUAUGACAAAAACUUAAAAAUGUAUAUUCGAGAGAAUUACCCAUAAAUUAAUUUUUUUUUAUUUUUAUUAAUAAAUUAAAACUCAUUCAGCGUUCCUUUACGUCUUGAGCCUAAUUCAAGUUUGCAUAUCUCUUCCAUAUAUAGAAUGGGCAAUGAGACAAAAAAUCUGUGUAGGAAUCGCAAGAGGGCUUGCAUUCCUCCACGAAGGAUCUAUAGUCAGGAUGGUUCAUCGUGACAUUAAAACAACAAAUGUGCUUCUAGAUGCUGACCUAAACGCAAAGAUAUCUGACUUUGGUUUGGCCAGGCUCCACGAAGAAGAACACAGUCACAUUAGCACCAAGAUUGCAGGAACCAUGUAAGUUAGUAUAUUAUAGCACAAACUUCAGAGUGUACAUGGCUCCAGAGUAUGCAUUAUGGGGUCAACUAACAGAGAAAGCAGACGUGUAUAGCUUCGGAGCAGUCCCGGCUCUUACCCAUGGCAACAUGGGCAUUUGUCAUGGGUCCAUGGGUCCAAAAAUUUUUUGUGUUGUUUUAAAGGUCCAUUUCAAUCUGUUAAAUUAUCAAAAAGAUUCAUAAUUAAGUAAAUCUAAUUUAUUUAUUACAAGACAAAACAAUAAAAAAUCUGUACAUUCACCAUUAAUUUUGAGAUAUAUUUUUUAUUUGUUUCAGGUAGUGUUUUGAAAACCGGACCAGACAUUGAUUCGGCAUUGUAACUAGAUCAAUGGUCGGACCGGUCCAAUUGGUUCAACUGGGUUUUAAAUUUUAAUUAAAUUUUUUAUUAAGUAACUAUUAUAUGUAUAACAAAAUUAUUUUUAUAAAAUUUUAUAUAAUUAUUAGAAUCUAAAAAUGAUAUGAAAACAAAAUUAUUUUUUUUAAAAAUAAUAUAAUAUAAUGAAAAUAAUUUAUUUAGGUAGAUACUUAGAAAACAAUAUGAAAUUUUUAUGAAAUAUUUUUCAAAUUUGCAGUUUAAAAAAAAUUCUUGAAUUUGAAAAAAUAGGAUUUUAAUAUCGAUCUUGAUCACUGGUUUUAGCGAGUUUUGCCGGUUUUUGACCGGGUUUGCCAAUUUAACUCAAAUCCGGUUUUUAGUAUAACCCGGAACCGAAUAGAUGGCCGAGUCACGGUCUGACCGGCCGGUCUGGUCCAGCCGGCCGGUCCGGUCCAGUUUUCAAAACACUGGUUUCAGGUUUUAGAGUUCAAAUUAAAAAAAAUGCAGUGAAGAAAAAUAUAGAAAAUAUUUAUAAAAGGGUCCAUAUUUUGGGUUUCGCCCCGGGCUAUUAUAUUGGUUAAGACGGCACUGCUUCGGAGUUGUGGCCAUGGAGAUUGUUAGUGGCAAGAGUAAUACUAAACACAAGGGAAGUGCUGAUCACGUCUCCCUUAUCAAUUGGGUAACUAUGGAGAUUGUUUUUUCAUUUGAUGUGUGUGUGAAUGUGCUAUACGUCUGCUUAGGCCACUUAUCUGAAUCUCAGGCAUUGACGCUGCAACAGACAGGGGACAUAAUGGAUAUUGUAGAUCCAGUGCUUGAUGGUGACUUCAACAGCAAAGAAGCAGUAAGGAUGAUCAAAGUUGCUCUAGUUUGCACACAUUCAUCUCCUUCUUUAAGACCUACAAUGUCUGAGGCUGUACAAAUGCUCGAAGGAGAGAUUGAAGUAACGCAAGUUAUGUCAGAUCAUGGUUUAUAUGGGCAUAACUGGAGCAUCUCAAAGCUGAGGGACGCUGAUACACAUGCUAGCCUGAACAUAUAUGGUGUGACCGAUCAAACAGCAUCGACAAUGAAGUCCUCUGUUUCUGCUAGUGAUCUCUACCCGUUGUAUCCCGAAUCUCUGAUCCUAAACUCCACAUAAACAAGAAAGAAGCAGAGACGUUGAUAAAAGUGGCUCUCGUGUGCACGAGCAAUUCUGCGUCAGAUCGUCCAAUUAUGUCAGAGGUGGUUGGUAUGCUGGAAGGUCACUAUCCAGUACCGGAACCAACCCCGGGAACAAGCAGGAAAUCAGGGGAUAUAAGGUUUAGGGCGUUUAAAGAUGUAAGGAAAGGCAUGGAAGAGAACAACAGUAAGACUCAGUUUUCUCUUAAUAGUUAUCCUUCUUCUUCUUCCGAUACUCAUGUGGCUGGACAAGAAAGAAAGCAAGAUGAGUCAGGGCCUUGAAGAGGUUUCCAAUUUGCUGUCCUCUCUCUAUAUUUUGUAAAUGAUAUGAGUUUUAAUUAUGUAAAACCGUUUGGAAGUUUAUUACACGAUUAGUCCAUUUACUGUGCUUUUUUUUUGUAUCUAUAUUAAAGCUUGAUUAGUUAGGGACUCAGUGUUGUGGAAAACCAAAACUCAAAAGAUGAUAAAGUCAGUGAUCUUUCCUAGUCAUACUUUUAAAGCCUUUAAAUUCUACAUCAAGAACUAAAGUUUGAUUAGUUAUCUUUGUGGAAAAUCAUACUUCUGAAGCCUCUGAAUUCUACGUUAAGAAAAUUAUUCUCUUUUUUUUUUUGUUCAACUUAAAUGAAAAGAUAGACACUGAUACUGAUUGAUGCAGAUUGACUAGCCUGCUUGGUGCAGGCUUAGUUUGAUCCAGGAGUACUUUUAAAAAGGUUUAGUAGACGAUUAGUAUAUUGGCAUCUGGUCUUGAUUCAGUGCGGAAAACCAAAACUCGAAAGAAAAUAAAGUUGGUGAUCUUUCCUACUCAUACUUUAAAGCUUUUAAAUCCUACAUCAAUAAUUAAAGCUUGAUUAGUUAUCUUGCGGAAAAAUUCUGUCACAGACAGAGUCUGCCACAUCGUAUUAAUUAAUAUAUGAUAUAAAUGUGUAUCCGAAUCUGAACAUAUUCUGUCCAUCUGAACCAAAAUUGAUCCGGCUUAUCAAAAGAAACUUGAUCGAUCCGGCCUAUCAAAAGAGACUCGACCGAUCCUGCUUUUCUUCAAUAGUAUGUAUGCUUGUAUAUAUAGAUAAUUGUGGAAAAUGUGAAGUGUCUUAUGAAAUGCAGUUUGACUAAGCUGAGAUUUAAGAGAAAACUAAAACUUUACAUCAUCUUAAUUUAUUUAAAUUCAAAACACACACUUAUCUUUAUGAAAUGUUUGUUAAAACUGAAUUAUAUGUUAGGAAAAGUCUCUAUUGCUUACUGGAUCUUACUAACUUGCUUACCACAUUGGUUGAACAUUUGUCUGAAAUGACAUCAGUUUGUCUCCAUGGAAUUGACUCGGAUAGCAUGCAACGAAUGAAAAGAUAACUAAAAUCUUGGAUCAUUUAACCAAGUUGGGCCGGUUCAAAAUAUAACACAAAUAUUUAAGAUAAUGAAAUAAUAAGUUUUAGAAAAAACUAUGUAAAUAUAUGGUCCUAUUAAAAUCAGAAAUUAAUAAUUUAUAUAUAUAGUUUAUAUAAGUACAAACAAAAUAUUGUAUUGUUUAUUUUAUAUUCACAAUGAAGUUCAUCUUUAUUUUCUUAUUAACACUUCAAUAAAUUUUCUAUAAUAUUUAGAAACAUUAUAUCUAAAAAAAUAUCUGAAUUUUAUGAGGUAUAUUUCAUAUACACUAAAUAAUUUAGUAAAGCAAUAUGUAAGUCGAUUUUCUAAAAUUUAGUUAAUAUAUAUGUAAAAUCUAAAAAAGAAAGUUUACUGUAUAGCACACCUAAUGUAACUAUUGAAAACUCUAGUGGAAACUUUUUGUGUCAAGGUGAUAAGUGACACAGGUUAUACUGAAUUACUGAUAUGUUUUCCAAAAAAAAUGAAAUGAAGAAUUACCAAUCUUAUUUUUGUUACAGAGGAUAUAUGGCUCAUGAAUAUUAAAUGAGGGGAUCGAAGGGUCGCCUAAGAGAAAGACAUAUGUUUACAGCUUCGAUGUGGUGGCAUUGGAGAUCGUUUGUGUUGCAGAAGGGGAUUUUGGUGCGAGCUGGAAGGAAUGUUCGAUGUGAUAGCGGCAGAGCCAAUGAUCAAGGUAUGUCUCCUAUGCUCUGACAAGUCUCCCACAUUCUCCCCAAACAUGUAGGAGUUGUGAAGAUGCUUGGUGAAGAAAAUGAAAUAGAACAGAUGAUCAUAUCAGAUCUUGGAGUGUACUGUGAAAACUUGCCCUUCAAACCAUCGUAUUUGUCUUCUGAUUAUGUCAUGUCGAAUAGUCGAUUACAUCAUCAUCUGUUUGUGCUUAUUAUGAUCUGUACCAAUUCAGGGACUCCAUUCUCCAUAGUUUACAUUAGACAGUAGCUUAAACCAUUUGAUGAUCUCCACACUAGGGUUAUCGUUGUGGGCUAGGUUGAGCUCAAGAGAGGAAGUGUGAGUUAAACCAUUUCUAAUGUAUUAUGCUAUUUUCUCUUCUAAAACAGAGGUGAAAUAUGUUUCAAGGUAUUUUCUUAAAAAUAUCAAUAUCAAAUAUAUAGUAAAAAUAGAGGAAUGCUAUUGUUUUUUCAUAAAUAAAAGAAAAAAAAUCAUCUCUAUUAUAGAAAAAUAAAUAAAGGUGGGCUGAAACAAUUUUAUCUUUAAAUUCUAUUAUAGAGAUAGAAAUAACAAUUUAUUGGAGUUGUUCUUAGAGCUCAUAUAGUUAGUGUGUUAUUUGGAAAGGUUUUAAUUAGAAUAAAAUAAAAUACAUAGUUAACUAGUUAUAUAACUAAUUCAAAAAGGUUGUUCUAUCAAGUCUACUUCUUGACUAUUCCAUUGCGUUGCUUUAAGUCUACCUCCAAGGAACAUAGCUUUAAAAGCUUUCUUAUAGUAGGGGCAUGGCUCUGUUCUUGAUAGGUAAAUGAACGAGUGGUGUGUAUAUCUGUAAUACGUGCUGAUGUAAUUUUGUGUUUAUUAUUUGCUUUGACUCUUUCUACAUAGCCAUCAAUUUAUUCAUUUAAUUUGCAAAAGUAAUGCAUCAAUUAUUUUGGUUCUGAUUGUUUGGUUGGAUAUGUACUUCGAUUCCACCAAUAUAUGGGGUAGGCACAUAUCGAAUACUACCAUAAUUUUCUGUAUUUCUUUUAACACUGAUUUAUUAGGAUAUAACAAUUUUGAGAAAUACUGCACAGACGAUUCGACAACCGACAAUAUUAACAGCAUUAUGAGGAUCAACGUCUAACUGCAUCAUCCGAGCCGCUCCAUGAAGAUCUACACCUAACGGGAUUUACUUGCACUAUAUUGAAGAUCACUUGUAAGUCUUUUUUCCGUAACCUACAUAAUUGUCUAAUAAAUUGUUUUCUCCAGAAAAUGAAACGUGGACCUCCUCGAGUAGAAUCAUCAAUGAACCCUUAAUCAAACCACUUGACUAAUGGGCUUCCAUGAUUUGUGAUUUGUUAAUUAACAGAGAUCUAAUUUUUCUAUUUGUUUUACUUCGGAAAAAUACAGAUAUCCAGUUUUCUGGAAAUCCAGAAAAUUUACAAAAGUUUGCGAUAUUUAUGGAUAUCUCAUCCAUUUUGUUCAAUAAAAGAAAAAUCUAGAAAAAUAUACGAGAUUGUUUUUAAAAAAAUAUAUCAUUUACAUAACAUAAAAUAAAAAAAUAUAGAUUAGUGAAACUAUAUGUUCCAUAUAUUUUUAAAAUUAUUUAUAUUUUUUUUAUAAAACAUUAAAUUAUAGGAAAAUUAUAAUUUUAUAAAUAUUUUAUAUUCCUUUCUUAAUUGAAUACUCUUAUAAGUAAAACAUUUAUCAAUCAACUACUUGAUGUCCCGCACCUUGUGUAGACUAAUAUAUAAAUAUAUAUAUAACAAUUUUUAAUUCUAAUGUUUAUUUUAUUUUAAAAAUUAUUUAAUUAGAUACAAAUUUAAAUUAAUAUUAUGUUAUAAUAGUUCGAUAUUCAUAUUGGUAAUCAAUAUACUAAAUUAUGUUAUACUGUUUCCUAGUUUUAUUUAUGCAUGUAGAUUUUGGAUCAAAAUAUUUUCUAUAGUAAUAAUCAAAUUAAAAAUUGGAUUUAUUGUAGUUGGACUAAAAUGAAAGGAUUAUAAGCAAUCACAACCCAUAAAAAAAUUAACAAAAUAAUAAUAGCCUAGGGGUGUUCAAUCCGGUAAAACUGAACCGAACCAAAAUUGAGAAAAUAGUUUAGAUUUUGUAGUACCGAAUAAACCGAAUGGAUGUUAUUUUUAAAAACCGCAGUAUAUGGAUAUGGUUUAGUAUAUAUUAACCAAUCAACCGAAUAAACCAAAUAAAUCGAUUAAUUAAAAAAUAUUGUAUACUUAUAUAAAAAAAUUAUAAUAAUUUAUAUUUGGAUCAGUAUUUCUAAUAAGAAUCAGAGAAACCAGAUAUAAUAUUAGUCAUUCAAAUCAUAAAAUAAAUAUAAGAAAAACCUGUUCCAAAACAAUAAAUAAGAUUAAUGUAAUUAUGAUAUAUCGGUAGAUAUUGUUAAUAUCUAUUGAUUAAUUAAAUGUCUUAAAUAUCAUGAUAAUUGUAUAUUAAAAUAUAUUUUUUAAAAAAUAGUUAUAUAUCAGUAGAAUAAUUUAAUGUUUAUUAUUUAUCUUAAAUAUCAUGAUAUAUAUAUAUAAUAAAAUAAAGUUUUAAAUAAUAAUGUUAAUUAAACUAAUUAUUUAUUCUAAAAUAAUGGAAAAGAUGACACAUAAGAAAAUUCACUAAAAUCAUGGAAAAAAUGACAAGUAAGCAAAUUCACUUUUCAAAAAUUAGUAUAGAUAGAAACUUUCAGUUAAUUUAAUAUCUUAAUAAAUCUUAAAACAAGUCAUUCUAUUUUGUUUAUUAAAUCUUGAAUUAAUCAAUAGUUUCGAACUUUUCAAUUAGUUCAAGAUAUUGAUAAACCAGAAAUAAGUGGUACAGUUAUCGCCAAAUUAUGUUAAUUCAGUGAUCGAAGCUCUAUUUUGGAAUUGGGACCAAAGUUCCUUUUUUAUACUCCAUUUUUAUCAUUCUUCUUUUGUUAAAUAUCCAAGGACCGAGGUGAUCGUCUUAGGGUUCGGGCUCGUGGACAUUUAGAAUCCAAACUGGUUAUUUUAAAGACCAACUUCGCAUGUUGGUAAAAUACGGAGCAUUUGACAUUAAAUAAUUGAACUUCUUUUUUUUCUUUCUGAAAUUUAAUUAUUGAACUUCUUUUAGUGAGAACAAAAUGCUUCUAAAAUUUAAACUUCUUUUUUUUUUCUGAAAUUUAAUUAUUGAAAUUUAAAAGAACUGGUAUUUUAUUGUAUCGCAGGAAUUUAAAUAAGGACGAAAUUUUAUACCCGUAGAAUUUUUAACACUGAUAUAAAAAGAGAGAAUUUGUUAUUAUAGAGAGAGAAGAGAUUGAGGUGUGUUAUAAACGAUCGAUGAAAUUAAAAAGUGAAAGUUACUGUGUAAAUAGUGACAGUUGGCCCCAUAUUUGUUCACAAACUCAACAAUUGAGGCGCUGCCAUAUUUGACGUUUGUAACACUCCCCAUUGGGGACCGGUGUCACUAUCGUCUUUUGCUUAACGUCUAUGUUGCCUCGUUAAAAAGAGUACAACUACGUAAGCUCCCCCUCGAAUGAGCAGUCAUAGAUCCUUCUGAUGGCGCAUUCCAAUGUUAUGGACAUGUUUUCUGAAUACUGAAGUCAGAAGUGAUUUUGUGAAGAGGUCAGCUGCAUUGUCGCAUGAUUGGACAUAUUUUACUUCAAUUUCUUUCUUCUUCACGAGUUCUUGAGUAUAUGAUAAGAACUUCAGAUGAAUAUGUUUCGUUCUAUCGCUUUUGAUAUAUCCGUUAUAUAUAUAUAACAAUUUUUAAUUCUAAUGUUUAUUUUAUUUUAAAAAUUAUUUAAUUAGAUACAAAUUUAAAUUAAUAUUAUGUUAUAAUAGUUCGAUAUUCAUAUUGCUAAUCAAUAUACUAAAUUAUGUUAUACUGUUUCCUAGUUUUAUUUAUGCAUGUAGAUUUUGGAUCAAAAUAUUUUCUAUAGUAAUAAUCAAAUUAAAAAUUGGAUUUAUUGUAGUUGGACUAAAAUGAAAGGAUUAUAAGCAAUCACAACCCAUAAAAAAAUUAACAAAAUAAUAAUAGCCUAGGGGUGUUCAAUCCGGUAAAACUGAACCGAACCAAAAUUGAGAAAAUAGUUUAGAUUUUGUAGUACCGAAUAAACCGAAUGGAUGUUAUUUUUAAAAACCGCAGUAUAUGGAUAUGGUUUAGUAUAUAUUAACCAAUCAACCGAAUAAACCAAAUAAAUCGAUUAAUUAAAAAAUAUUGUAUACUUAUAUAAAAAAAUUAUAAUAAUUUAUAUUUGGAUCAGUAUUUCUAAUAAGAAUCAGAGAAACCAGAUAUAAUAUUAGUCAUUCAAAUCAUAAAAUAAAUAUAAGAAAAACCUGUUCCAAAACAAUAAAUAAGAUUAAUGUAAUUAUGAUAUAUCGGUAGAUAUUGUUAAUAUCUAUUGAUUAAUUAAAUGUCUUAAAUAUCAUGAUAAUUGUAUAUUAAAAUAUAUUUUUUAAAAAAUAGUUAUAUAUCAGUAGAAUAAUUUAAUGUUUAUUAUUUAUCUUAAAUAUCAUGAUAUAUAUAUAUAAUAAAAUAAAGUUUUAAAUAAUAAUGUUAAUUAAACUAAUUAUUUAUUCUAAAAUAAUGGAAAAGAUGACACAUAAGAAAAUUCACUAAAAUCAUGGAAAAAAUGACAAGUAAGCAAAUUCACUUUUCAAAAAUUAGUAUAGAUAGAAACUUUCAGUUAAUUUAAUAUCUUAAUAAAUCUUAAAACAAGUCAUUCUAUUUUGUUUAUUAAAUCUUGAAUUAAUCAAUAGUUUCGAACUUUUCAAUUAGUUCAAGAUAUUGAUAAACCAGAAAUAAGUGGUACAGUUAUCGCCAAAUUAUGUUAAUUCAGUGAUCGAAGCUCUAUUUUGGAAUUGGGACCAAAGUUCCUUUUUUAUACUCCAUUUUUAUCAUUCUUCUUUUGUUAAAUAUCCAAGGACCGAGGUGAUCGUCUUAGGGUUCGGGCUCGUGGACAUUUAGAAUCCAAACUGGUUAUUUUAAAGACCAACUUCGCAUGUUGGUAAAAUACGGAGCAUUUGACAUUAAAUAAUUGAACUUCUUUUUUUUCUUUCUGAAAUUUAAUUAUUGAACUUCUUUUAGUGAGAACAAAAUGCUUCUAAAAUUUAAACUUCUUUUUUUUUUCUGAAAUUUAAUUAUUGAAAUUUAAAAGAACUGGUAUUUUAUUGUAUCGCAGGAAUUUAAAUAAGGACGAAAUUUUAUACCCGUAGAAUUUUUAACACUGAUAUAAAAAGAGAGAAUUUGUUAUUAUAGAGAGAGAAGAGAUUGAGGUGUGUUAUAAACGAUCGAUGAAAUUAAAAAGUGAAAGUUACUGUGUAAAUAGUGACAGUUGGCCCCAUAUUUGUUCACAAACUCAACAAUUGAGGCGCUGCCAUAUUUGACGUUUGUAACACUCCCCAUUGGGGACCGGUGUCACUAUCGUCUUUUGCUUAACGUCUAUGUUGCCUCGUUAAAAAGAGUACAACUACGUAAGCUCCCCCUCGAAUGAGCAGUCAUAGAUCCUUCUGAUGGCGCAUUCCAAUGUUAUGGACAUGUUUUCUGAAUACUGAAGUCAGAAGUGAUUUUGUGAAGAGGUCAGCUGCAUUGUCGCAUGAUUGGACAUAUUUUACUUCAAUUUCUUUCUUCUUCACGAGUUCUUGAGUAUAUGAUAAGAACUUCAGAUGAAUAUGUUUCGUUCUAUCGCUUUUGAUAUAUCCGUCUUUUGUUUGAGCAACACAUGCUGCAUUAUCUUCAUAUAUAAUAGUUGGAUCCGUAUUUUCGUCAAUCCCACUGCUUGAACAGAUGUGUCGGCUUAUUGAUCUUAGCCAUACACAUUUUCUACUUGCUUCAUGGAGUGCAAUGAUCUCAGCAUGAUUUGAAGAAGUAGCCACGAGCGUUUGUUUCUGAGAACGCCAAGAUAUAGCAGUGCCUCCUAUCGUGAAUACGUAUCCUGUUUGUGAUCGGGCUUUGUGUGGAUCUGAAAAAUAUCCAGCAUCUGCAAAACCAACCAUUUGACCUUUUGAACUUUUAGGAUAAAACAAGCCUAAAUUAAUGUUCCCUUGGAGGUAACGAAAAACAUGUUUAAUCCCAUUCUAAUGUCUUCGAGUUGGAGAUGAGCUGAAUCUUGCCAAAAGAUUCACAGCAAAUGAUAUAUCAGGCCGUGUACAAUUUGCAAGGUACAUCAGCGCUCCAAUUGCACUUAGAUAUGGUACUUCCGGACCAAGUAUCUCUUCUUUCUCCUCAGGUGGUCGAAAUGGAUCACUUUCAAUAUUAAGUGACCAUCGGGGUGCUAAGAGGAGUUGCUUUAUCCAUGUUAAAGCGUUUCAAUACUCGUUUGGUAUAUGUAGAUUGGUGUACAAAUAUACCUUUUUGAGAAUGCUCAAUUUGUAACCCUAGACAAUAUUUUGUCUUUCCGAGAUCUUUCAUCUCAAAUUCUCCUUUUAAAUAAUCUGACGCCUUUUGUAUUUCUUGUUGAGUUCCGAUAAUGUUAAGAUCAUCAACGUACACCGCGAUUAUCACAAAUCCGGAUGUUGUUUUCUUUAUGAAAACACAAGGGCAUAUAGGAUCAUUCGUGUAUCCUUCUUUUGUUAAGUGUUCACUGAGACGAUUAUACCACAUUCGUCCAGAUUGUUUUAACCCAUAUAAUGAUCUUUGCAAUUUUAUUGCACAUAACUCUUUAGGUUUGGAACUUAAUGUUUCUGGCAUUUUAAAUCCAUCUGGGAUUCUCAUAUAGAUAUCAGUAUCUAAUGAUCCAUAUAAAUAUGCCGUAACGACAUCCAUGAGACGCAUUUCUAAAUUUUCAUUGGCCGCUAGGCUCAUCAGGAAUCUAAAUGUGAUUGCGUCCAUGACAGAAGAAUAAGUUUCCUCAUAAUCAAUUUCUGGCCUUUGAGAAAAACCUUGGGCUACGAGACAAGCUUUGUAUCUUGUAAUCUCGUUUUUCUCAUUUCUUUUUCGGACAAACACCCAUUUGUACCCAACAGGUUUUACAUCUUUGGGUGUGAGCACAAUAGGUCCGAAUACAUUUCGUUUGUUAAGCGAAUCUAAUUCGACUUGAAUUGCAUCUUUCCAUUUUAUCCAGUCAUGUCUCUUUUGACAUUCAUAUACAGACUUUGGUUCUGGAUCUUCGUUUUCUUCAUUUAUUUCCUUUGCUAAAAGGUAUGAGAAAACGUCAUCAAUAUCAUCCAUCUCAUUUCGUUUCCAUAUCUUUCCAUUAUGGAUGUAAUUGAUAGAAAUCUCAUGAUUUCCUUCAGAUUCAAGAUGCUUUAUAUUGUCAUUAGAUUCACAAUUUUCUUCGUCCAAAAUAUUUUCUGUUAUUUUGGGAGUAUCAUGCUUUUCACAUUCCUUACGUUUUCUAGGAAGUUUAUCCUUUGAACCAAUAGGUCUACCGCGCUUUAAACGUGUUCCUGAUUCACGUGUAUCAACUGCCGUUCCACCAUUUUGUGGUAUUUCAAUACGAGCAGGAGUAUUUGCAGCGGGUAUAUGUGAUUUAGUUACCAUUUUGGUAUCAACAAAUGCAUCAGGUAGCUGAUUUGCUAUAUUUUGUAAAUGCAUGAUACGUCGAACUUUUAGUUCUGACUGUUUCGUAGGAGGAUCAAGGUGUAAUAACGAUGGUACACUCCAUUUGAUCUCUUUUCCUACUUGUUUAUUGUCUCCCCCUAGAGUUGGGAAUUCUUUCUCAUUGAAAUGACAAUCGGCAAAUCGUGCCGUUAACACAUCACCAGUUUGUGGUUCUAGGUAUCUUAUUAUUGAUGGAGAAUCAUAGCCAAUAUAUAUUCUCAACCGUCUUUGCGUUCCCAUAUUUGUACGUUGUGGUGGUGCUAUUGGAAUAUAAACCGCACAACCAAAGAUUUUUAGAUGAGAGAUAUUUGGUUCUUUUCCAAAUGCUAACUGUAAUGGGGAAUAUCUAUGGUAUGCACUUGGUCUUAUCCGAAUUAGUGCUUCUGCAUGCAAAAUAGCAUGUCCCCAUACAGAGGUUGGGAGUUUUGAUCUCAUGAUCAAUGGCCUUGCAAUUAGUUGCAGCCGUUUAAUUAAUGAUUCUGCCAAACCAUUUUGUGUAUGAACAUGAGCAACAGAAUGCUCUACUUCAAUCCCUGAUACCAUACAAUAAUCAUUAAAAGCUUGGGAUGUGAAUUCACCAGCGUUAUCUAAUCUAACUCUUUUAAUUGGAUAAUCUGAGAACUGUGCUCUUAAUUUGAUUAUCUGAGUUAGAAAUCUCGCAAAUGCCAUAUUUCGAGAUGAUAACAAACAAACAUGUGACCAUCUACUCGAUGCAUCGAUUAAUACCAUAAAGUAGUAGAAUGGUCCACACGGUGGAUGUAUUGGUCCACAAAUAUCACCUUGGAUUCUUUCCAAAAACUUUGGUGAUUCUUUGUCAACUUUGGUUGGUGAUGGUCUUAUGAUUAAUUUCCCAAGAGCACACGCAUCACAUGUCAUUUUAUUACUUUGGUAUAUAUCUUGGGUUUUUAUUGAAUGACCAUGUGAGCUUUCAAUGAUUUUUCGCAUCAUUGUAGUGCCUGGAUGACCAAGGCGAUCAUGCCAUAAUGUAACAUCUUCUGGAUUUCUUUUUAUCACAAGAUGUGAUUCUAUAGCAUCAAUAUAAGUGUGAUGCAAUCCAGAAGGAAGUUCUGGAAAUUUUUCCAGUACAAGGCCUUUGCCUGAUUUUUCAGAAGUUAUAUACAAAUACUUCUUUCCAUUCUCAGUUGCAGACUGAGUGUUAUACCCUUGACGGUAUAUAUCUUUGAAACUCAACAAAUUUCUCUUAGAAUUUGGAGAAUAUAAGGCAUUAUCUAUGGAAAACUUUGUUCCAUUAGGCAACAUAAAGUUCGCCUUGCCAAUUCCUUCGAUCAGGUCUGUAGGACCUGAUAUUGUGUUUACAGUCAUUUUUACUGACUUUAAAGUAGAGAAAUAUCUCUUAUCCUUCAGUAUAGUGUGCGUUGUGCCACUAUCUGGUAUGCAAACUUCUCUACCCAUUUGUUUAGUUGUUGUUCCAUUUGCUUUCUUAUCCAUUUCUGUAACACACAGUUAAUAUCAAUAAAGAAAAUAAACUUUCAUAAGUAAACAUAUUAUGCAUCAAUAACAAGUACACAAUAAUUAUACAUUAGAUAUUUUGAAAUACAACAUUAUUUUGAAAGUGAAAUACAUAAUAUUUUAUGGCAUCACUAGGCAUUAUUAAGCUUGAUCAGUACAAGCACUUCAAUUAUUUUGAUGAGUGGCCUCGUCGAAAUCUCCCAUAAAGUCAGAGGAUUCGAGGUAUGUCGAUGUUGUACCCACAAGGUGUUCAUUGAGAUUUACUUCCUUUGCCUUGCCUUUAAUAGAUUCUUGGUACAAUUGGCAUAGAUGCCGAAGAGUUCGACAUACUUGAGACCAGUGUCCCUUCGAUCCACAUCUGUAACAGACGUUCUCAUUUUUAUGAGUAGGGUUUUCUUGGGUUUCUUUCCCUUUUACCCGAUCAGAUCGAUUCCAUGUGUUGGAUCCCCUUCCUCUUGGGUUGUUACUCCUUUCAUGGUUGCGGUUAAAUCGAUAACCACGACCACGACCAAAACCACGAUUGUGACCACGGCCACGACCACGCCCACGAUAGGAAUAAUUUCCUUUUUCCGGAUUUUUUAUAUCCGUUGCAUUUACCUCAGGAAAUGCUUUGGUUCCCGUGGGUCGGGCAUUGUGGUUUUUAAUGAGGAGUUCAUUAUUUCUCUCCGCUAUUAUAAGCGCCACAGCGAGUUCAGAGAACCUCGUAUACCCACAAUUUCUAUAUUGUUCUUGUAGAACAUAAUGAUUUUUGUGGAACGUUUGGUAAGUUUUCUCGAGCAUUUCUGCUUCCGAGACAGGCUUACCGCAAUAAUCUAAUUGCGCCGCUAUUCUCAAUAUAGCGGAAUUGUACGUUUCCACUUUUUCAAAAUCUUGAAAUCGUAGAUUUUUCCACUCAUCAAGUGCAUGGGGGAGAGUAAUUUUUCUUUGGUUAUCAAACCUCUCCUUCAGAGCUUUCCAAAGAUCUAAGGGAUCUUUGGUUCUCGCAUAAUCAUGCGUAAGGUUUUCAUCUAGAUGCCUUCUCAGAAAUAUCACGGCCUUAGCCUUUCCAUGAGAGGUUGAUAUAUUGCCAUCUUUUAUUUUUCCGAGUAUUUCCUCGGAAUCUAGAUGAAGCUCCAUGUUUGUAACCCAUGCCGUGUAGUUUGUCCCAGUUACUUCCAAUGCCGGAAACUGAAGUUUCUCGAUUUUUGCCAUUUGUAUUUCUAAAGCACAUAAAUAAAAAUUAUUAGAAUAUUAUUAAUAUUAAAAGGAACCGUUUACAUUAAUAAUGCAAGCAAUUACAAGGAGAAGCGAUGUAAAGAAAAUUAAACCGAUAUUCAUCUUAAAUUCACUCGGAGUAAAUUCUCCAACGAAUAAACCAUAAAUAGAAACACAAAUAAAAAUGGCACAUAAAAUAUAAGGCGGCUCGGCCGACUAAUAAAUAAAUUAAAUUACUAGUAAAUAAUAUAGGCGGUAUUCCGGCCAUUAUAACAUGAUAUAAAUAAUAGUAGAGGCGGUAUACCGACCAUUAUAACAGGGUAUAAAUGAUACAAAUAAAUUUUACCGAAUCGGAGAGUGAUCGUGCUGAUAACGUGUUAUAAAAAGAACUGGUAUUUUAUUGUAUCGUAGGAAUUUAAAUAAGAGCGAAAUUUUAUACCCGUAGAAUUUUUAACACUGAUAUAGAAAGAAAGAAUUUGUUAUUAUAGAGAGAGAAGAGACUGAGGUGUGUUAUAAACGAUCGAAACGAUCGUAUAUACAGAAAUUAAAAAGUAGGAUUUACUGUGUAAAUAGUGACAGUAGACUCCAUGUUUGUUUACAAACUCAACAAUUGAGGUGCUGCCAUGUUUGACGUUCUUAACAAACUUCUUUUUUUCUUUCUCAAAUUUAAUUAUUGAACUUCUUUUAGUGCUUGACCAAAAAAAAAAAAAAAAAAAAACUUCUUUUAGUGAGAACAAAAUGCUUCUAAAAUUAAUCAUUAAAAUACACAAGGAGACAUGAAACAUCAAAUCACGAACGUCUCUGUUCUCCACUAUACCUUCAGCAUCAACAUUUAUUAAGUAUGGUAGACUCAGUACAUAUAUCUUUAUUCUGUAGGCACCGAAGACCCAAGAAAAAACCCUACAAGAAAUGUUUAUUUUUGUUGUUAACAAACCUACAAGUAAUGUAGUAUUAUAUAACUACUGAAUCACUUGCUGAUGAUAACAUUGUGAUUCACCAAACAAAUACACAUACAGAGCAUCACUAUAUAUAAUUUAUAUCGAUAUGUCGAUACCUUUCUCGAGUUUUCUUAUAUUCUUUGCCAUCAUCACAAGCUUCCUCGCAACUCUAACGACAUCGGCCUCACGACCACUUCUUCAUCCAGAUGAGUGUAUGAGAAGAAAGAAUGGCCAUUUUCUAGACAAUUCUUAUAAAAUCACAGUUAAAAUCAGUAUAAAUUCAUAUGAUCAAUGUUUAAUUUUACUUUUGUUAUUAUAUUAAUGCAGUGAAGGCGCUUAAGGAGAUAGCCACUACACUUGGUAUCAAGGGAUUGGACCUCAAAUCAGAAGAUCCUUGCUCUAGGAGCAGUCUAAAGUUUGAUUUCGAUCAGACUGAUGGUGGGGACACCGCCAUUAAUUGUCAAUGUGACAACAUGAUAUGUCAUAUUACCGACUUGUUAGUGUUAUUCUUCUCUCUAAUCGUUUGAUCGGUUUUUUCACAUCUUUUCUUUUAUAUAUGUUUCUGUUGCAUUUGAGAAAAAAUACAGAUCUCUCAAGACCAUGGAUCUUCCUGGGAAACUUCCUCCUCAGUUAGUCAAGCUUCGAUAUCUCCGGUCAAUGUAAGUUAGAAAUUUUAGCAAACAUAGCACCAAAACAAGUUUUACUUCUAAAACGAGCCAUUUAUAGAAUAUUUUUGUAACAGCAUAAAUAUAAUAUCAAAAUGAUUGAUUUUUUUUUUUGUGAACAAAAUGUAAGAUCUAUGAAACUGUAACUGGAAGCUUAAACACUUUAUGGUUUCCAUUUUUAAUAAUCAAUAAAAAUCAAAACCGUAUAAUCAAAAUAAAUCGAAUGGUAAAGUUGAUUUCACUUACAAAUAAAAUAAUAUUAAAUUUUGAAAAUUAUUAUCUAUAGAUUAAGAACAACCUAAUAUAUAUACUACUCCAACUUUUUCAAAAUAAUACAUACUAUUUUAAGACUCACGUCUUGCGCACGAUAAUUAUUUUAAAUACACAUUAUUUUACGUAUUAUUAUCUGUUUAACAUUUAAAAAAAAAAAAAUAAAUCAAUAAAUAUAUAUUGAAUAAUUGAAAAACUAUUAACUGUUACAUGUAUAAUUAAAUUGACACAUAUAAAUUAAAGAAAUCACUUUUGUUUAUUUACAAUCAUUUUGUGGUAAAUACAUCUAAAUAAUUAUUUUCCCUAUUUUGUAUGUAAUUAAAUUUAAAUAAUAUUAACAUAUAUAUAGUAUAUUUAAUAUGACUUCUAUUAAAUGAAACUUCCUAAUCAUAUGAUUUUAUGCUCAUUUGUAUUUUUAACAAAUUUUUAAACCAUUAAUAACAAAACUUUUAGUGUGGGAUUUUUAAUAUUUUUAAUAAUUUAUAAUCUUUCUUGAAAAAUCAAUGCAAAUUUUAAAAUUAAAAUAUUAAAUUCUCAAUUUCAGAAAUUUAAAACCGUUGAUCACAAAAUUUUCAGUGUGAAAAUUUUAACAUUUUUUCGUAAUUUAUAGUCGUUUUCUAAAAAUUAAAAUAUAACAUAUACGAAAAUCUAAAUUUCAAUUAUAUGGCUAAUAUUUUUGUUUAAUUUAUUUUAAUAAUAUAACAUUUAAAAAAUCAUUGAUGAUAUGUAAAUUGUUUUUAAAUCUUUAUUAUUAAAAUCACUAAUUGACAAAUAUAUAUAAUCUAUUCACUUUUGGUAAUUCCAUAGCUUUUAUUUAAGAAAAGAAUGAAAAAAUUAAUUGUAGAUUGUUAACUAAUUUAUGAUUAGUUUAAUGAGAAGUAUAUAAUAUAUGUUUAGUGGACCAACAUAUUUUUCUAGAGACUUUAAGAAGCGUUCUAGUGAUGACACAUGUCAUAUAUAAAAUGUAUAAUGUUUCUCUUUUAAUAUAUAGGGGAUUUUAGGAAAACAUAUUUCAAAAAGAUAUAUUUUGUACAUUUUAAUUCAUUUUAUUAGGUAAUAGUGGUAAAUUUUAUGUUUUGAAGAAAUCUAUUGUGUCUAAUAAAUUUUGAUUGGCUAAAAUUUAAUAAAAAUAGUUAAUAACAAAAAUAAUAUAUUAAAAACAAAAAAACAAAAUUAAUAUAUUUAUAAUUAAAAUUUAAUAUGUUUCUUUAUAUGUUUGAAAAGUCAUACUUUCCUAAAUAUAUACUCAUUCUUUUUUAUAAAAAAUGUCAAUUUAAAAUUUUAACACAUAUUAAAAAUGAUUAAAAUGCAUUUAUGUUUCAUAAAUUACACCUAUUUGAUAAUAUUUGCGAUAAAUAAAUAUAUCAAUAAUAUUAGAGCAGUUUACAAUUAAUGUUAAAACUGAAAAUAAAUAUAAUUUACAUUGAAAUUUUAAAAUAACAACAAAAAAUGUUAAAAUCACAUUUCUAAGAAGCAGAGGAAAUAUUAUUUGGAAAUGGAGAAGAAAUAUUUAUAUAGUGGUUUUUGUUCUUGGUAGAAACUUGUGCCGUAAUUACCUUUCGGGUUCAAUCCCGAUGGAGUGGGCUUCAAUGCCAUACCUCACAAACAUGUCAGCUCUCUCUCUCUCUUUUUGUUCCUUUUCCAGCUUUGAAAACUUUCUCUUCAUGAUUCGCGAGUUAACUAUGACUUUUCACGCAGUUCCCUCUCCGCGAAUAAUUUGUCUGGGCCUUUACCUACUGGUUUACAAUACUUCAAGAGUCUGACAUUCCUGUACGUCUCAUACCUGUAGCCCUCUAGGGGUAUGGCUUCUGAUCAUUAGUCUAAUAUUACUUUAUUGUAAUGAAUUUUUCAGAGGGGUUGAAGCCAACCAGUUCUCUGGUCCUAUUCCUGAUGAGCUUGGUAACUUGACCAACCUAAUAGGAUUGUAAGACUCUCUUUGCAUCUUAACCAUCGUCCAAAACCAAAAGAAUCUAUUCUAGUAUUGUAUUGAAAUAUUUUAGUAUUUAGCUGUAAUCUAUUCUGAAAACUGGAUUUUGCAGGGAACUUGCGUCCAAUCAAUUUACAGGAAGACUUCCUAGCAGUCUAGCUAGACUGGUAAACCUUGAGAAAUUGUAAGUUGUCGCUACACUUAGAAGGUAAAUUGAAACUUUGGAAAUUAAUGUUCUUAUAUUUGGACCUAGAUUUCAUUGUAAGUUACAAUUUGUAACCUCUUGGUUAGAGCUUUUGCUUUGUGACUUUUCCGUGAUCUGCAAGAAAGUGAAUUAGCUGUUUGUUUACACUAUGCAGUAGGAUAAGUGACAAUAACUUCAGUGGAAUCAUCCCAGAAUAUAUUGGCAACUGGUCUCGGCUUCAAAGGCUGUAAGCUUUUUCCUCAUUACCAACUGUAGUUUCUUUUAAAGUUUGUGUUUCAAUAUAACUUGUGUCGAAUAUGUUCAACAGAGAUCUACAAGCAAGUGGACUGAAAGGACCUAUUCCUGACGCAGUGGCCCGCCUAGAAAAUCUUACUAACCUGUAAUUAACUAAAAAUUAAUUGAUCAUUUCAAGUACCAUUGAAAUACAUAUCCUGACCUCUAAUACUCAUUUUCAGGAUUAUUAGUGAUAUGACCGGGAUAAACUCCUUUCCUAAUAUAUCUAGCAAAGUCAUCAAAAACCUGUAUGUGUUUUCCAGUGAAGCUUGAUUUUAUUUGAGGAUAUGAAACUAAAGUCUCCGUCCCUGUUUCAGGAUAUUGAGGAAUGUGAGUAUGUCUGGUCCAAUUCCUUCUUACAUCUGGAGUAAGACGGACUUACGAACUCUGUAAGUUUGUAUUUGGUGAAAUCUGAGAUAUUUGCUUUGGAUUCAUGACAUUGUACUUUUAUGUGCGUAAAGUUACUGGACUACAUCAGUUCUAGCUGCACACACAUAUAGAUUAUCUUGGACUCAUGGGUAACAUCAAUAAAUAUCUUAGAGAAAAGAAAAUGUAGCUUUUUUUGAGAGUAACAUGCAAGUAUGACAAGAUCACUAAUGACGAGUUGGUGUUGUGGUUACAAUUUUUAGAUCAUUUAGAAGAGAUUUAAGAGUACACAAGUUCAAGUCGUGUUAGGAGUAGUCUAUUCUCUUUAGAAAGUAGUCGUAAAUUACAUAUUUGAGUCUCACUCUACUACCAUCAUUUAUGUUUCUUUAUGUUCUUAUGCUUGUAGCGCUUUGAUGAAUUUUCCUUGUAGUCCGAAUGUUUGAGGUUUUAACGAAGUUGUGUUAUAAAAGAUAAAAGAUAUGCUAUACUUAGGAAUAAUUGCUGAUUCCAUAAAUUUGUAUAUGAAAACACAGACAUCCGUCCAGAAGUAAUUAUUUAUUUAGUACACGUUUGUUGCAGUGAUUUAUCAUUUAACAAGUUGACUGGUGAUGUAAAUGGAGUAAGGGCACCAUACUAUACGUAAGUACUAUAAUAUGAGAUUGAGAAUGAUAAAGAGACAUUAUCACAGUAUCUUCUUUGACAUGUUCUUUCAGCUAUUUGACUGGAAAUAGGCUCUCUGGAGACAUUGUAUUUGAUGGUUUUCUCAAUAGCAAAUCUAAUAUGUACGUUUAACCAUCUUGACAUUUUACCCCCCAAAAAAAUGCACGUGUAACCUUUUCCGUUCUCUAUCACUUGUGCUAUUUUUCGUCAUGUUAACUAAUCUUUUUGGUGAUUUUUUUAUUUUGGCAAUCUCUCACAGUGAUCUCUCGUACAACAAUUUCUCAUGGUCGUCUGGCUGCCAGGAAAAGAUGUACGAACAUGAAAUCAGUAACAGCAAUAUUAAUUAACUUAUUUACUUAGCUCUAUGUUUAUAACCUGCUGAUCAUGUUGAAGUUUUUUAUUUUCACUUUUUGUUGAAUCAGUAACAUUAAUACAUACCGGAGUUCAUAUUUGAAGAACAACUUGUAAGUACGGUAACUAGGCAUGGGUGCAAGCCGGGUACUUGGUCUUUUUCCCUAUUCUCUAUUUGACUUGCCUUGUGCGAGUAUUAGAAUUUUUGGCUUGUACUUAGUAAUCAAGUACUUGCAUAUAUUUUUAAUACUUGCAAAUUAUUUGGUAAUACUUAAUACUUGUUUAUUUAGGUUUAAAACUUUAAAACUAAAUGUACCAAAACUGAUAAGUACAAUUAAACAUGGAAUCUUAUUUUUCCAUAUACUUGUUACUUUAUUCAAUCAAUUCAAGUAAUUUGAUUUAGUGAGUGUAUAUAACCCAUUCAAAAUAAGUACUUAUAAUAUAAAAUACCUGAAGAAUAAUAUUUUUAAUUUUUAUUACAAUGUCAGAAGUAAAACAAGUAUUUUAAUAGGUCAUAUAUAUACUUUUAGAACCAAUAACAACUAAUAAAACAACUAAUGGAUCGAGUAUUAGAAAAAAAUCGUAAUACUUGAUACUUGACUUGUAUUUGCAAGUAGUAAGAUUUGCGGAUUUGCUACUUGAUUUAACAACGUCAAGUACUUGCUUUUUCAAGCCGGGUAGCAAAUAUAUCAAUGUCCAGCUCUAACGCUAACCUCUAUGUUGAAACAGUAACCUGCUGUUUAUCUUGCAACUAUCAAAUCUAAAACAUAGGAAUCUCAUGCUUUAGAAAACAGCAAUAGUAAUAGGCUUUGAUUUUUUUAUAAGCCGCCAGUCCCUACUAACUUUGUGGCCUGAAGCACAUUGAAAUAAUGUGGCCUCAUAAUUUAACUAUCAAAUGAUUAUAUACUAUAACUUUUUAAUUACAACUUAAUUAUCUUUAUAUUUUUAAAUAUUUAGGUUGUUUUUAUUCAAAGAUGAGCCAAUAAUUUAACACGAGAAUAAUAGAAAUAAUGUUUAUUUGAAAUUUAAUGUAAUUUUAUAAUUAUCACAGUAAAAAAUUAAUAACUGUAAAAAUGAUAUAAAGCUAGAAAAUCAUAAAUUAAAUUCAGUGAGAAAAUAUUAAAAUAUGGUUUAAAUAGAUAAAUUUAUAAGAGAAUAAAUUAUUAAAAAUGAAAAAAAAUCUAAAAAAAAAUAAGUUAAGUAAAAGUAAAUAACUCUAUAAAUUAAUAUAUUUUCCCUGCAGCUAAACAACCAUUGGACUAAUAAUGUGACAACUAUGUUAUUUUAUUAAUUUAUAAAGUUAUUAAUUUACAAUAAUUAUUAAAAUAUCGUAGUACCAUUAUUAAUAAAAUCGUUUGGAACAUAUUGUGCCGAUGAGUUGCCUAACAAUUUGGUAGUCUUUUCAUACAGAACUGGGCUUCUUCCAUGUGCUGGUCCUAUCAACUGCACAAGCUGUGAGUACACAGUAUAUGAUCCUGUCUUAACUUUUCUCUAAAUCACAUAUGAAGCUGAUACUUCUCUUUCCUGUUAAUUAUCUCUUUCUGUUGACGUUGGUAGUCGUUAUGGACUGUAUUUGUAGAUCGGCGGUUUCUACAUAUAAAUUGUGGUGGAGACAGCAUAGUUACUACAAACUCUUCAUAUAAAAUCACAUAUGAAGCUGAUAAUAACAUUACCAAAGCCGCAACAAAUCAGCACAUCAAAAAUUGGGGAAUCAGUAAUACUGGUGACUUUAUGGAUGAUGAUAUUAAUGAUGACGCAUACACCAUUUCAACUACUAGUAUGACACCACUUGGAGAUUCUCAUGGUCUUUAUAAGACCGCACGUCGAUCUGCUCUCUCUCUUGCUUAUUAUGCAUUUUGCUUGGAAAAUGGAGACUACAAUGUGAGCCUCCAUUUUAUGGAGAUUCAGUUUUCAGAACCACACGGUCGUCUGGGCAGACGCAUAUUUGAUGUCUAUGUUCAGGUUAAGGAUCUGUUUUUACUAAAUAUUUGUCUACAGUAAUCAUAGUAUGGAAGAUUGACAUUCAUUUCCUUUUCCUCUUGUUAGGGUAAACUGUUCUUGAGUGAUUUUAACAUCAAAGAGGAGGCUAAAGGGAAUCUGAAGCCUGUUAUCAAAGAACUGAAAGCUGUUGAUGUGACCGAUCAUAUGUUAGAGAUCCGGUUGUAUUGGGCUGGGAAAGGGACAACAAUGAUACCCAAAAGAGGAAACUAUGGUCCUCUUAUCUCUGCAAUCUCCUUGUGUCACAGUAAGUAACACUUCUUAUUUACUCCAUUGUAUUUGAUUAUCUCAAGUCUUUGCUUCACUACAAGAAAACAUGCAAAUCCCAACGGAAAAUUCCAUCGGGCUUUCCCGACGAAGUCAUCCAUCGGGUCUAUUUUACCGAGAAAAAAAAUAUCUGUCGGAAAUUUGUGGGGACAUCUGUUGGGAACUCUGCCUUGUUUUCUUGUAGUGCUUCAACAACCUUACUCUCGUAUAUCUUUCAAGGCUUUUUUAACAACAAGUUGUUUCACUCUCAAACUGCCAUAACUGGAGAACAUUACGCUUUCACCUAACGAUAAUAUUCAUCUUUCAAACUUUCAGGCCAGGAGCCACGAUGUGGAGGUUCUUAGACAAAUAAAAACUACCUUGUUAACAAUGUCUUUCUGUAUACUGUUUGUAAUAUGAUGAAUUAUAUUUACACAUUUGUAGCGGAGAAAAUCAAACAUCACAUUAGAUAUCCCCUGAUUGUGGGGGGAACGGGUGCCUUGGUAACAAUUAUUCUCUUGGCUUUGGGAAUAUAUGGUCGGAGAAGAUGCAGAGCAGACAACAACACAAGAGAACGUGGUAUGAAUCCAUUUGUGGUACAUAACUAAUUCAUUUUAGCAUUACUAUAAUGAUUUUCUACUGAACAUAUGAUCUUGUAGAUCUGAGAGCACAGGGUUUGCAAACUCUUUGCUUUACAUGGAGGCAACUUCAAGCUGCAACAAACGAUUUUGAUCAAGCCAACAAACUUGGAGAAGGAGGUUUCGGAUCCGUAUUCAAAGUAUAAUAAAACAGAUGCUAAGUUCUUCUCAAGUAUGGAUGUUUUUUUUUUGGUUUCUGAUAUGAGAAACUUAAUGCAGGGAGAGCUGUCAGAUGGAACAAUCAUAGCAGUGAAGCAGCUUUCUUCCAAGUCAUGCCAAGGAAAUCGAGAAUUUGUGAAUGAAAUAGGAAUGAUCUCAGGUUUGAAUCAUCCAAACCUUGUCAAGCUUUAUGGAUGCUGUGUCGAGAAGGAACAAUUGCUGCUCGUGUAUGAGUACAUGGAAAACAACUCACUUGCUCUUGCUUUAUCCGGUAAAUAAAUUAAUAGAAAUUUUCUAGGAUAGACCUAAAUUUUUUUUGUCACAAAUAUAUAUCUUAAAAAUAAAAAAAGACCAAAAUAGACUUAAAUAUUUUUUAUCAUUUUUUUUUGAGCAACAAUUCAUUAAUAGAAAAAGACCGAAGUUUUACAUGACCAUAGUUGUAGCUAGAGCUUUCUUAGCAAGAGUGUCAGCAGCGAUAUUGUCUAAAUGAGGAAUGAAACAAAAGCAAGAAACAGAGAGAUACAAGACAGGUUGUGGAUAUCCCGGAGGAUACCAAAAAGCUCUCUCCCACUCGGAUGAUUGUCUGAGCUGUCGGAUUUGAUGAGUAGUUUUCUGUACCUGAAAGAAUGUGCUUGUAGUAGCGCUUCCCUUAUCGCCAUACCCUCUGCCACCAGUGGGGAGGAAACGAAGUGUUCUAUUGCAGCUCCUUUGGUCAAGACUUUCCCGGUAUGGUCCGAGAAAAUCCAAGCCAACCCCGCUUUCUUUUCUGUUUCCUUCCAGGCUGCAUCUGUAUGAACGGUGAUGACUUCGUGGUGUCCUUGUAGCAUGGGGGGGGGGGGGGGGNNNNNNNNNNNNNNNNNNNNNNNNNNNNNNNNNNNNNNNNNNNNNNNNNNNNGGGGGGGGGGGGGGAAGCUUGGUUGUUGUCCGAUAUGUUUAGGAGUUACAUGUUGCAGUUGUGCAGCUUGCCAUUCUCGUGCAUCCACUAUUGCCUUAGACAGGGUUUCUUUUGCAUCAAAGUUUCUCUUCUCAAAAGUCUUGUAGUUCCUUGCAAUCUAUAUGUUCCAGCAAAUCCAUGGGAAUAAGGAUCCCAACACCAUACCUGAUGGUGGUAGGUUAAGAGCUUUCCUUGAAGCCUUAAGUGCUUUUGGGAACUCUGUACUCGCUAUUAUGCUUGACACAUGUUGGAUCGGAGACUGGUUCCAGAUUUGAAUCGCAAACGAGCACGUAAGGAAUAGAUGGUCCGCUGUUCUCUAGCUCCACAAUGGAUACAGUUGAGGUUUGUCGCGAUAAUCCCUCUCGAUUCCAAAUUAUCUCCCAAGGGUAAGGCCUUUUGGACUAUUUUCCAUAAGAACACUCGCAACUUCGGUGGAAUGGGGAUCAACCAAAUAUCUGCCAUCCAGUAAAAGUUUGCUUGUUGAGGAGUACCCUCUGCUAGUGUUCUUUUUGCCAUCGCUGUAUAAUAACCGGUUUUCGUUGAGUAGUCUCCAUUUCUUGUGCCUAACCAAGAGUGAGCAUCUCUGCUCCUCGUCUUGCUUGGCUUAAGCAAGAAAAUCUCUUCAGAAUGAGAGGGUAAUAGUAAUUCAACUUUAUCCCGAUCCCAGUCUCCUGUUAUAGGGUUCAGUACCGCUGCAACGUUGAGGCUUUUGGAGCCAGCGUCUGGUGGGCCUAUCGGUCUACGUGGUUCCUCUGUCGACAGCCACGGUUCGUCCCACAUCAUGGUGUCUUCUCCAUUCCCUAUCGCUUUCCUAGUGUUUUGUAACAAUAGGUCUCUACCGCAAAGUAUGCUUCUCCAUCCAUGGGAGCAUGAAUUCGAAGCAGACACAGAUAGGAAUGGUUCAAUGGCGCAAUAUUUACCCAUCAGUACUUUUGCGAGUAAGCAAUCAGGUUUUUUCAGUAAACACCAGCCUUGCUUGGGUAAGAGAGCAUCAUUGAAGGCUUCAAUGUCGCGGAAUCCGAGUCCUCCAUCAGCCUUUGAUUGAGUCAAUCUCUCCCAUGAUACCCAACACAUCUUCUUCUUCUCUUGACUCGUAUCCCACCAAAAUCUCGUGUAUGCAGAUUGAAUCCUCUUUGUAAGACUCUUUGGCAGCUUGAAACACAUCAUGGAAUGUGAUGGCAUAGCCGAAAGAACCAUUUUUAACAUGGUUAACUCCCCCCCCCCCCCACCCCAGAGGGGNNNNNNNNNNNNNNNNNNNNNNNNNNNNNNNNNNNNCCCCCCCCCCCCCCCACCGCAGAGAGUUGUCGGGUGCUCAUGCUUGCGGCUUUUUGAUGGAUGCGAUCAACAAUCAAUGUAAAUAGAUCCUUUUUUCUUCUCCCGAAAUGUUCAGGUAGCCCUAAGUACUUUCCCACUAUGCCUUCCUUAGGGAUACCUAAACUCGCCAUUACUCUCUCUCGGAUAUAUCGCUCGGAGUCUUGUUGGAGAAUGUAAUUGACGACUUCGCAGUGUUAAUCAUCUGGCCUGAUGCAGCUUCGUACUUUGUCAGUACCUCCUUUAAGGCGUUUACACUUGUUGGCGUCGUUUUGGUGAAGAACAUUGUAUCGUCUGCGAAAAAGAGAUGAUUGAUUUUUUGGCUAGCUCUCGCCACCAGCACUCCUGCUAGGGAUCCGAUACUUUGGGCUUUAGUACACAGACCGGAUAAUACCUCGCUGCAAAGUAUAAAGAUAUAUGGAGACAGCGGGUCUCCUUGUCGGAUUCCUCGAGACGGGCAUAUCAGUCCUUGUGCUUCUCCAUUGAACAGGAUUGAGUACGUCACUGAGGAGAUAAGUCGCAUAAUCCAGCCACAUAAACUGUCAUGGAACCCAAGUCUACGCAUUACUGCUUCAAUGAAAUUCCACUCGAGUCUAUCGUACGCGUUGCUCAUGUCUGUUUUUACCGCCAUAGAACAGCGUUUUGUAGCUCCGGAUCUCUUCAGGAAGUGUAAAGUCUCAUGGGUUAUCAUGAUGUUGUCUGUUAUCACUCUUCCAGCUACAAAUGCUGAUUGGUUUUCGGCAAUGAUGAAAUCGAGCACCGGCUGGAGUCUUCGUGUGAUUACUUUGGAGAUAAUUUUGUAAUAAACGUUGCACAAAGCUAACGGUCUGUAAUCUGCAACCGUUUUUGGAGCCAAGAUCUUUGGUAUGAGGCGCAGAUGUGUGUGGUUGAUGUUCGCAGGAAGGGCUCCGAGCCCAGACGGGUUCUCGGCCGGUUUCUUCAGGACAAACUGGACGACGGUGGGGCCUGCAAUCAUCUCGGAGGUUACUGAAAUGUUUUAUCAAAAAAAGUAAAUAUACACUUAUAGUCCUAGGGUUAAUUAAUCUAGACAUUAGAGUUUAGGGUUUAAGGUCUAAAGUUUAGGGUUAGGAUUUAGAGUUGAAGAGUGGGGUUUUGGGGAUAUGAUUUCAAAUUUUAAAAAAUAAAAAAAAAUGUAAAAUUUUCAAAAUAAAAAAUGUUAUUUUGGUCAUUUUAGUUUUUGAGAUCUAUUUUACAAAAACUUAAAAAUGUCUAUUCGAGACCUAGAAAUUAAUUUAUUUUUAUUUUUAUUAAUAAAUUAAAAUUCAUUCAGCGUUCCUUUACGUCUUGAGCCUAAUUCAAGUGUGCAUAUCUCUUCCAUAUAUGUUAUCACAUGUCCCAUUUCCAGGAAAGAGCACAACAAAGUUAGAAUGGGCAAUGAGACAAAAAAUCUGUGUAGGAAUCGCAAGAGGGCUUGCAUUCCUCCACGAAGGAUCUAUAGUCAGGAUGGUUCAUCGUGACAUUAAAACAACAAAUGUGCUUCUAGAUGCUGACCUAAACGCAAAGAUAUCUGACUUUGGAUUGGCUAGGCUCCACGAAGAAGAACACACUCACAUUAGCACCAAGAUUGCAGGAACCAUGUAAGUUAGUAUAUUAUAAAACAAAAACUGCACCAUAGCCAAAUAAAUAUAUCUUAGUCUUUAUUCUUGUUACAAUGCAGCGGAUACAUGGCUCCAGAGUAUGCAUUAUGGGGUCAACUAACAGAGAAAGCAGACGUGUAUAGCUUCGGGGUUGUGGCCAUCGAAAUUGUUAGUGGCAAGAGUAAUACUAAACACAAGGGAAGUGCUGAUCACGUCUCUCUUAUCAAUUGGGUAACCUUGGAGAUUGUUUUUCAUUUAAUAUCCGUAUGCUUGUGUUAUACGUUUACUUAGACCACUUUUGUGAAUCUCAGGCAUUGAUGCUGCAACAGACAGGGGACAUAAUGGAUAUUGUAGAUCCAGUGCUUGAAGGUGAUUUCAACAGCAAAGAAGCAGUGAGGAUGAUCAAAGUUGCUCUCGUUUGCACACAUUCAUCUCCUUCUUUAAGGCCUACAAUGUCUGAGGCUGUACAAAUGCUCGAAGGAGAGAUUGAAGUAACACAAGUUAUGUCAGAUCCUGGUUUAUAUGGACAUAACUGGAGCAUCUCGAAGCUGAGGGACGCUGAUACACAUGCUAGCUCGAGCACAUCUGGUGUGACCGAUCAAACAGCAUCGACAAUGAAGUCCUCUGUUUCCGGUAGUGAUCUCUACCCAUUGUACCCCGAAUCUGUGAUUCUGAACUCCACAGUGGAGUUGCCUUCCUCGUCGAUGUGAUAUCAAAAGAUGUGCACGAGUCCUUAAGAGGAAGCAAUGGUCUGUGAAGUAAUCUUAUAGCUACCUAGUCAUAUCAUUAAAGUUGUCUGAAAUCUUAUUACUAGGUUAAUUUACAUAUAUCUAAAAACACAUCUCUAGUGCUUUUUGAAUCAAACUCUCUUUCCUAUAACUUUCCUAAAAUCAUUUACAUAUUCUAAGAAGAUUCGCUGCACAAAUUGAAAAUAUUUUACUUUCUUUCUUUUAUACAAAAAGGAAGCUUUUUAGUUUCAUAAUAUUUUUUAAAUGAAACUUUUGGAACUAUAUAUACACACAUAAAGGGAUAAAAGAAAUGGGUCAUUCAUGAACCUUCACCUGUUCAUCGCUGCCAAAUUGUACAAUAAUUCAAAUAUUAAAUAGCUUUGGUCUUAUGUGUAUCGCGACUUUCUACUAGCGACGACCAAGAAGACCUAUAAGUAGAUAACAUCCUUUCACUAUUACACUUAUUUAGUUAAACAAGUCCACAAAUUUUGAAUCGAUCAUGUGGACCGCCUCCUCGGCUCUCGUUCUGUUCUUCACCAUCAUCACCAGCUUCUUCUCCACUCUAACAACAUCCGCUUCACCAGCUCUCCAUCCAGAUGAAUGUAUUAAAUCAAAAUCUUGAUCCUUAUAAUAUCAAAGGUCAGUAUCCAUAAUUUUUUUCAUAUAUAAUCUCGAUAAUUUGUGCAGUGAAAGCGCUUGGUGAGAUAGCUACUACACUUGGAAUCAAGAGACUGAACCUAAGUGAUGGAGAUCCUUGUCUUUUAAAAACUCUAAAACUUGGUGUUGUUUCUAAUUCGGAUUCGGAUAUGGAAAACAUCAUUGCUUGUGAUUGUAGUUUCAACAACAACAUGACAUGUCAUAUUAUAGAACUGUGAGUGUGAAUCUUUUAUCUUCAAUUAUCAAAUCUUUAUUUUCUGAUGAUUUUUUUUUUUUUUUUGAGAAAUCACAGAAUACUCAAGUCCGUAAGUCUUUCGGGGAAACUCCCGCCUGAGUUGGCCAAACUUCAGCAUCUCCAGAAGAUGUGAGUUUAGAACUUAUGAUUAGUCGUUGGUUUUGCAAACCAUGGUUCAUAAUCCAUUUUAGUCAUUUGUGAUUUUUUUUAACAAAAGUGAUUUGGUUGAUCUAUAUCUAACAUGGAGAUAAAUAAAAUUAAAAAAUGUGUUAAUUCUUAAAGUUUUCAUUUAUGUAUAUGAUGCCACACUACAAAAGUACAGCCUCGUACCUAGUAUCCAUAAUGGCUUAGUCACCCGAACAUAUGAUGAUUAAUCAAAACAGAAUAAACAGAAAUUCGAACUUUCUUUUUUGAACAUUGGCUUAGAAAUUCGAACUUCUUUAGUCUGGAAAUCUCCCAUGUUGACAUUUUAUAGUGAGUUUCUGCUCUUUCUUGCAGAAACUUGUGCCGAAACUACCUUUCGUGACUGACUCGUACUUCUGGCCAGCUUUGCGUCGUGAUGUGGAAAGAUUCGUGACUCGAUGCACGACUUGUCAAAAGGGUAAGGGUCACGCCUCCAACGCAGGACUUUAUUUGCCCUUACCGAUUUGCCCUUACCGAUUCCAACUCAACCUUGGAGCGAUAUCAACAUGGAUUUCGUCUUAGGACUUCCCUGGACACAGCGCGGCAAUGAUUCCAUCUUUGUGGUCGUCGAUCGUUUCUCUAAGAUGGCACAUUUUGUUCCGUGUAAAAAGACCACAGAUCCUGUGCAAGUCGCUCAACUAUUCUUUUGGUGAGAUAUAUAGGUUGCAUGGUCUCCCUGUGUCGAUCGUCUCUGAUCGUGAUUCCCGAUUCAUUAGUCACUUCUGGCGUUCUCUGUGGAAGUUAUUCAAAACCAGUUUGAACAUGAGUUCCGCGUAUCAUCCACAAACAGAUGGCCAUACUGAGGUCACGAAUCGAAGCUUAGGGAAUAUGUUGCGUUGCUUGGUUGGUGACAAUCUCCGUUCGUGGGAUACACUUCUUUCCCAAGCCGAGUUCGCACACAAUCAUGCCAACAAUCGCAGUCUCGGUUUCAGUCCCUUCAAAGUCGUUUAUGGAGUUUUACCUCGUGGACCAUUGUCUUUAACAACACUGCCACAGCCGGGAGAGUUCCAUGGUCGGGCGGUGGAGCUUGUUGACGAGUUGACUAGCAUCCAUACACAGGCGCAAGACAACUUGCAAGGCACGGCAAUAAAAUACAAACGCGCAGCAGACAAGCAUAAGCGCGAAGUUCAUUUUCAAGUCGGAGAGUUUGUGUGGGCUGUUUUAACGAAAGAAAGAACGUUUUCCGGUGGGUCAGUAUAACAAGCUGAAGGCUCGAAAAAUAGGGCCAGUGGAGAUCGUGGAAAGGAUGAAUGCCAACGCCUACCGUUUGGCUUUACCUCCUCACGUGCAUACGGCUGACGUCUUCAAUGUCCGGUACUUGUUCAAAUACGAACCCGAUGACAUUACACUUGCAGGAUUCGUGGACGAAUCGUCCUUAGGGGGGAGACCUGAUGUAGCGUACAUAUCCUCUCGGGCUUUGGUGUUCUUAUUUCCUUUUCUAAGUUAUCUAUGUUUUCCUUUUAAGCUUAUGUUUAGGUUUUCCUUUAUUCUUUUGUCUUAGGACUUAUGUCCCUAUAUAUUGUGAUCUCUUGGCUUUGUGAGAGACAACUUUUGAAUUAUUGAUUAAUAUACUUAGAGUUUUGGUGUUAACAAACUCUUCAAUCCUAACUUCCGGGCAUUCUAUAAGAAUUCAACGGUGUUAAAAAGGCUUAGAUAACAGGUAUUCUCAGAAUUCAACGUUACCUUCGCGUUAUCGGUUACUAGACGGUACUUCCGCUCCGUCAAAACCUCACUUCCAUGUCAGCUCUCUCUUUCUCUCUCUCUCUCCCUCCCUUGUAAUCUUCAUGAUCUGGUAGGUAAUUUUUCGCUUUCUUGCAGCUCGUUCUGCGCAAAUCGUUUGUCUGGGCAAUUACCUACUGGUUUACAAAACUUUAAGAGUCUAAAAUUCCUGUACGUCUCAUACCUGUAGCCUCUAGGGGUAUGCCUUCUAAUCAUUAGUCUAAUAUUAAUUUUAUUGUAAUGAAUUUUUCAGAGGGGUUGAAGCCAACCAGUUCUCUGGUCCUAUUCCUGAUGAGCUUGGUAACAUGAUCAACCUAACAGGAUUGUAUGAUUCUCUUUGAAUCUUAACUAUCUUCCAAAACAACAAGAAUCAUUGCUUUUAUUGAAAUAGUUUAAGGAUUUAGAUAUAAUAUCUUCUGAAAAACUGGACUUUGCAGGGAACUUGCGUCCAAUCACUUUACAGGAAGUCUUCCUAGCUCUCUUGCUAGACUGGUAAAUCUUAAGAAAUUGUAAGUUGUUGCUUGAGUUUUCAAAAAGCAUUUUGCCUUUUUAGCUGGAAAUGCUCUUCUUUAAUUAUGCUUGGAUGUGAGUAAAUUUGUGAAGCUCCUCAGCGGAUGCAUUAGGUUUGAAACUUUGAAAAAAAUGUUCUUAUAGAUUGAAUUGCAACCUCUUGGUUAGAGAUUUUGCUUUGAGAUUUUUUCCUUGACUCGUAAGGAAGUGAACUAACUGUUUGUUUACACUAUGCAGUAGGAUAAGCGACAAUAAAUUCACUGGCAUCAUCCCAGAAUAUAUUGGCAACUGGUCUCGGCUUGAAAGGCUGUAAGCUUUUUCAUCAUCACUAAUGUAUUUUCUCUUACAGUUUGUGUUUUAAUAUAAUCUAAGUUUGGUCGAAUAUGAUCUUCAGAGAUCUACAAGCAAGUGGACUGAAAGGACCUUUUCCUGACGCAGUGGCCCGCCUAGAAAAUCUUACUAAUCUGUAAUUAACUAUCUCAAACUAAAUGAUCAGCUAAAGAACCAUUGAAAUGAAUAUACUGACAUCUAUCUAAUAUUCAUUUUCAGGUUUAUUAGUGAUAUGACUGGGAUAAACUCUUUUCCUACUAUAUCUAGCCAAGCCAUCAAAGACCUGUAUGUGUGUUUUCAAGAAAUCAUGAUUGUAUUUGAGGAUAUCAAACUAAAAACCCCGUCCCUGUUUCAGGGUUUUGAGGAAUGUGAGUAUGUCUGGUCAAAUUCCUUCUUACAUUUGGAGUAAACCGAACUUGAGAUCUCUGUAAGUUUGUUCUGGUGAAAUCUGAAAACUACUUAUGCAGAAUUUACUCAAAGAUGUGCAUACGUUAUGUUGUUUGCUGCAGUGAUUUAUCGUUUAACAAGUUGACGGGUGAAGUUCUUGGAAUAAACCCAACACCAAAAUUUACGUAAGACGCAUAUAAUGUUAAGAUAUAUAACACAUAAUCACAGGUAUCACACACACGGAUGAGUUAUAGUUUUGAUGUGUUGUUGUUACUGGCAAUAUGCUUUCGGGGGAAAUUAAAUCUGGUGUUUACCUCAACAGCAGAUCAAAUAUGUACGUUUCAGUCUUUCCCUUGUUUAAUUACAUGGCGUUAAAAAUCGUUCUUCAUGUAAACUAAUCUUCCAGUUGGUUUUCUACAGUGACCUCUCUUAUAACAAUUUCUCAUGGCCAUCUAGCUGCCAAGAAAGGAGAUACAUACAUACCAGAGCUCAUCCUUAAAGAACACUUUGUAAGUUCACUCUUCUGCGUUGCAACAAGAAUGCCUAAAACUUAGUAGAAUUCUUUUGCAAGUUUUCUUCCGANNNNNNNNNNNNNNNNNNNNNNNNNNNNNNNNNNNNNNNNNNNNNNNNNNNNNNNNNNNNNNNNNNNNNNNNNNNNNNNNNNNNNNNNNNNNNNNNNNNNNNNNNNNNNNNNNNNNNNNNNNNNNNNNNNNNNNNNNNNNNNNNNNNNNNNNNNNNNNNNNNNNNNNNNNNNNNNNNNNNNNNNNNNNNNNNNNNNNNNNNNNNNNNNNNNNNNNNNNNNNNNNNNNNNNNNNNNNNNNNNNNNNNNNNNNNNNNNNNNNNNNNNNNNNNNNNNNNNNNNNNNNNNNNNNNNNNNNNNNNNNNNNNNNNNNNNNNNNNNNNNNNNNNNNNNNNNNNNNNNNNNNNNNNNNNNNNNNNNNNNNNNNNNNNNNNNNNNNNNNNNNNNNNNNNNNNNNNNNNNNNNNNNNNNNNNNNNNCUUGAGAGAAAAUAGAUUUGUGAGUGUUUUUCUAGUUUGAAGAUUUGUUUGAGUUUGAAGUUUGUAGAAGAAGAAGAGAAUCCCUUUCUCUUCCCAGAGAAGCUUCUAAACCCUCUUGUUUUCUUUAUUUUCUUUUAUAAUGUCAAUUAUGAAUUCUGUUUUUGGUUCCAUGUGUGAGUAAUCUACUAGUUAGGCUAGGGUGAUUCAAAGGAAUCCAUGAAUCCAUGAAACUGAUAUGUUAAAGAAAAGGGGUAAAUCAUUUGGUUCUUCAUCUAGAUCGAUCUUAAAGCUUGAAUUAGAAGGUACACCUAGUUCUUGAUCAUUAGGAAGUUCAACACACCAAAAGUGAUAGUUAAACUCCUGAAAAGAAUCUAGAUGAGCAAGUCUUCGUAACCAACGAGAGUUGUUGUUAUGGAAUUUGUGAACAAAUCGAACCUGUUAAAAUGCAUGUUUAGAAUUAUGAAUAUGGCGAGAGUUGAUAUUUAAGAUUCUAAAACAUAGGAUUUAGUACUGCGAGAGUAGGCUAAAUUAUUUAAGCUGUUUGAGUUCAAGAACGGUUCUAAAACAUACCCCUUGUUUAAUGUUUGUUUCUCGAUUUAUGUCAUUCCCGAGAAUUACCCGAUGCCUAACGUUUUAAUCUAUAAUUUAAAUUUCAUUUCAAUUUAUUUACAAGUUGUGACAAUUAAAAGCUACCAAACAAACAAUCAUUUUCGUUCUAGCUUGACUUUACUCUAAUAGAUUCAUAGUGUAACCUUGGUCUCUGUGGAAUUCGAUCCCUAAAUACUACUGCGCACUACCGUGCACUUGCGGUUGGUUUUAGUGGUAAAACCUGAGCACAUCAAGUUUUUGGCGCCGUUGCCGGGGACCAAUAGCGUUACCUUUGGAACUAAGACUAGAGUCUAGUCUAGAACCUUAUUUUUUCAUAUUACUUAUAAAUUCUUUCUCGAUUUCCUUGCUUGUAUUGCAGGUACAUGAACACGAGAAGCCGAAGUUCUGAAAACUUGGCGGUUGUUUCUAACGAAGAACUUGCAAGAAUCGAAAGAGAGAACAACAGAAACAGAAGAAGAAACAUGGCUGGAGUGCAAGACCAGCACGAUGGACCCAGAAAUGGGCAAAAUUUUCCUAUCGGUGAUGAGCAAAACGCAGAUAACCCUGCAAAUGCUGGCAACGCUGCUGCUGCCGCUGGAGUUUUCCGACAACCUUUUCCUAUACCAGGACAGAGGAAAAAUCAACCUCGUCCUAUUGGAUCUAUCGACACUCCGCACACAUUCUAUCACAAUCGAUCCGCAAUACAACCUCCUCGUGUCACCAGGCAAGACUAUGAGAUCAAACCUCAAAUGAUAGCUCUGGUCAAACAGAGCAUGUUCUAUGGUCUCCCGUCCGAAAGCCCCAUGGACCACAUUGAGACUCUUGAAGAAAUUUGUAGCACGACACGAUCAAAUGGAGUUCCCGCUGAUUUUCUACGAUGCAAGCUGUUUGCAUUCUCGCUGGGAGACAAGGCGAUGAGAUGGCUAAAGUCUCUACCUCCAGGAUCAGGCUCUUGCAUCUUGGUAUUGAGGGCGGUUGUCCCUAAAUUUGUUGGGCUUGAGGUGCGGAUGUAGUAUCCAGCAUUUGUCCUUCAUGUGGCCCUUCUUCUUGCAGUGAUCGCAGGUCAAGUUUUUCUUCUCAUCUAGCUUGUAAGCUGCCUUGUUUGACACGGCUCGUUCAGCUUGAUGUGCCAUGUUUAAGUCUCCCUUGCCUCCAAAUAAGCCCACAGAGCCUUCUUCCUUCUGAAUUUGAGCGCAUACUUCAUCCAGGUCAGGUAACUUGUCAGCUCUCAGGAUGUGCUUGAUUAAGCUCCCAUAAGAUGGAUUAAGCGUGAGCAGUAGUCCAAACACUCUGUCCUCUUCACGCCUGGUUAAGAGAGUGGUGGGGUCGGUAGUAUGUGGUCUGAGUAGUUCCAUCUCUGCCCAAAGAGACCGGAACUUGCCAAAGUGAGGCUGGAACUCCAUAUCUCCUUGGUUGAGGGUAUUGAUAGCUCUUUUUACUUCAAAGACCCUUGUAAGGUUGGAGGUAUUUCCAUACACUUUGUAGAGUGUAUCCCACAGCUGCUUGGUAGUUUCACAGUAGGAGUAAGACUCCAUGAUGGCGGGUUCUAGGGAGCUAAGGAGCACCGUGAGAACCAUGAGAUCUUCCUGAGCCCAUUUGUCUUCAUCAGUAGCUACCACAAUCUCCUGUCCAUCUUCUCCUUGGGUGGUUUGUUUUGGAGCUGCUUCUGCUGAGACAUGACUCCACAAACCCUUUCCUCCAAGGGCAAUCUUCACCAUCCUGGCCCACAAGAGGUAGUUAAUCCCCUUCAGGGUCACAGGUAUGCUGAUGCGGUUGUUGUUAUUGUUGUUGUUGUUCUCCAUCUUGGGGAUUUACUUGGUCAGAGGUAGAGUUUAAGAACUAGAAACAGAGUUUUGAUUUUGCGGAAUUUAGAAAGGUUUCAAGAUUGUUGCUGCUCUGAUACCAUGAUAAUUUGUGGGAUUAUGAGAGCUUCUAAGUGUUUUAACCGUGAUGAAGCACACGAACAAAGUAAAAAAGGAGUGAAAUAACCGUAAGUAUUUGAGAGAGAAGAGAAAUUUGCGAAUUUAAGAGAAUGGGAGGAUUUGUGAGUUUGAGAGAAUGAAAGAAAUGUUUGUAUUAAAUUGUAUGUUUAAUUGUGUAACAUACAUGGUCUAUUUAAAGGAAACAAAAGCAAUAAGCACUCAAUGGUGGAAGAAUAAAUAACUAGUAGUGGACUAGCCACUCCUCCCCAUUUGGUAAGUGAUAUGGCCACUCCUCCCACUUCCUCCACUAACUAGUAGUGGACUAGCCACUCCUCCCCAUUUGGUAAGUGAUAUGGCCACUUCUCCUACUUCCUCCACUACUUCCCUUUGUUUAAUUCUUCAUGUCAACAGUAUAACAGUCUGUUUGCAAGCUCUGAAGAUGUCUUCAUUUCUCUUAUGGUGUAGCGGAUAUAUGGCUCCAGAAUAUGCUUUAAUGGGUCAUUUGACUGAGAAAGCAGAUGUGUACAGCUUUGGGGUUGUGGCAAUGGAGAUUGUUAGUGGGAAGAGUAAUACAACACAAAAGGGAAGCGAUGACACUGCCCCAAUUAUUAAAUGGGUACUGUGGAGCUUUCUGCUCUCUCUUUUGCCUUUUUAUUGUCCUCGGUUCUAUAGUUUAAUCCAUGACUCCUUUUGACAAUAAGUUUACAUCUAUCUCAGGCCAUGAUACUGCAACAAAAAGGGGACAUAAUGGAGAUUGUAGAUCCGAAGCUCGAAGGUGAGUUCAACAGCCUAGAAUCAGAGAGGAUGAUCAGAGUUGCUCUUGUUUGCACAAAUGCAACUCCCUCUUUACGUCCACUGAUGUCAGAGGCUGAGAAAAUGCUGGAGGGGGAGAUGGAAAUUGAUGUGUCUAGGUUUUUGGUGCUUGUUUAUAUAUUUUUUAUUAUAUUUUUCUCGAUUAUUUGUAGUUUUUCGUUCGUGUUUCAGGUAUAUAGGUGAUUGAGCGCGUUAGGAACCAUUGGCAUGUGCAUACUGGAAUUUCAAGGGAUUUUCAUGUCCGUCUGAAGGGGUUAGAGCGCAGAACGAACAACGAAUCGAACCGAGAUGCGAAGAAAAAGAAGAGAAAAAGAACCCAUCGAUCGAUGGGUUUUUCAAUAAAAACCCAUCGAUCGAUGCAUCCUCGCUGUGUCCAGCUUCACCCACGUUCUCCACUUCACCUACUGCAUCCACUCGUCUUUCAUGAUUAUGUUGGAGCCUUUGUCGAAAAAGGAGGGUCCAUGGCCGAUUAUAAAUAGGGAGGACGAGCUCCAUAAGAAAUCAUCCAUCUACACACCAUCUUAGAGAUCAAAUCUUGAGAGAAAAUAGAUUUGUGAGUGUUUUUCUAGUUUGAAGAUUUGUUUGAGUUUGAAGUUUGUAGAAGAAGAAGAGAAUCCCUUUCUCUUCCCAGAGAAGCUUCUAAACCUUCUUGUUUUCUUUAUUUUCUUUUAUAAUGUCAAUUAUGAAUUCUGUUUUUGGUUCCAUGUGUGAGUAAUCUACUAGUUAGGCUAGGGUGAUUCAAAGGAAUCCAUGAAUCCAUGAAACUGAUAAUAGCGUUACCUUUGGAACUAAGACUAGAGUCUAGUCUAGAACCUAAUUUUUCAUAUUACUUAUAAAUUCUUUCUCGAUUUUCUUGCUUGUAUUUCAGGUACAUGAACACGAGAAGCCGAAGUUCUGAAAACUUGACGGUUGUUUCUAACGAAGAACUUGCAAGAAUCGAUAGAGAAAACAACAGAAACCGAAGAAUAAACAUGGCUGGAGUGCAAGACCAGCACGAUGGACCCGGAAAUGGGCAAAAUUUUCCUAUCGGUGAUGAGCAAAACGCAGAUAACACUGCAAAUGCUGUCAACGCUGCUGCUGCCGCUGGAGUUUUCCGACAACCUUUUCCUAUUCCAGGACAGAGGCAAAAUCAACCUCGUCCCAUUGGAUCUGUCGACGCUCCGCACACAUUCUAUCACAAUCGAUCCGCGAUACAACCUCCUCCUGUCAACAGGCAAGACUAUGAGAUCAAACCUCAAACGAUAGCUCUGGUCAAACAGAGCAUGUUCUAUGGUCUCCCGUCCGAAAGCCCCAUGGACCAUAUUGAGACUCUUGAAGAGAUUUGUAGCACGACACGAUCAAAUGGAGUUCCCGCUGAUUUUCUACGUUGUAAGCUGUUUGCAUUUUCUCUGGGAGAUAAGGCGAUGAGGUGGCUGAAGUCUCUACCUCCAGGAUCUAUCACUACUUGGGAGCAAUGCAGAGCUAUGUUCUUGGACAAAUUCUACACCAAGCACAAGACGGCUAGUUUGAGGAGUAAGAUCACAAAUUUUCAGCAAAAUACCUCUGAGCCGCUGAGUGAAGCAUGGGCAAGAUUCAAGGAAUAUCAAAGGGAGUGUCCACAUCAUGGGUACUUAGAUGAGCAUAUCCUCAACAUCUUCUAUGAUGGAGCAAACUGGAACGUCAAAAACUCUCUCAACGCUGCCAGCAAUGGAGACUUUAUGACAAGAACCCAGGAGGAAGCUUACACAUUGAUAGAAAAUCUUGCCACAAGCUCCAGCAACCAAAAUGAAGAAUAUGAUAGAUCGCGAAAAGGCGAAAACUCAGAAAUCAAGAAGCUGGAAGAGAUGAGCGCAAAGAUCGAUAUGCUUAUGCAGAGGGAUCAAAGGGUUGUCAGUUCCAUCGAGGAAUAUGGAGAAGGAGCGUUUUUCUUCCCCAAUCAAGAACUACAGGAACAGCAGGCUGUAGUCAACUAUGUGGACGGACAAAACCUUGAACAGUAAGCUGCAGUGAACUACGUUGGUAGAUAGAACUAUGUGCAGAACAAGGGACUUAAUCAAAACUACCCACAAAAGUCAGAAGGACAAGGACAACAGUUUCAACCACAAGCCUACAGACCAAACCAAGGACAACAAGGAUAUCAAAACCAAAACUACGAGCAGAACCGACCUUUUGGGCAGAGCUUGGGACAAAACCGAUAUCAGAACUCUAAUUACAACCAAGGAGGAUUUCAGCAGAAGCAACCUUUCAAUUCUUUUCAACCAAAGAAUCCAACACAGUUUCAAACCGGGGAAAGCUCUGUUCCGGCUGCUAAAGAGUCUAAGCUUGAGUCAAUGCUCCAACAAUUGAUGCUCAACCAGCAAAAGACAGCUUCUGAAAUAAACACAAAGGUUGAUAACAUCAAUGUGAAGGUUGAUACCAUGUUCCAAGACAUGAACAACAAAUGGGAGUCUCUUUCAGCACAUGUCAAGAAGUUAGAGACUCAAGUCGCCCAAACUGCUGAAGCUGUCCAAAGACCUACUGGAGUUCUUCCUGGAAGAGGUGAACACAACCCAAGGAAUGAAUUUGUGAACGCUAUCACUCUAAGGAGUGGGAAGGAGCUGGUUUCUGAAGAAAAGAGAAGCAUGCCCGCUGACGAAAAGACUGCGCAGAUUGAAGAACCCACUGAGGUACAAGUUGAAGAGGCUGAAGCUGCUGAAAACAUACCGCCUAUGGUUCGAGUAUAUACCCCUAAGCUGCCUUACCCAGUGAAACAGAGGAAAUCCCGCAGAGAUUUGGAGGCAGCUAAGUGCAAAGAAAUGGUAAGCAAGUUGAAUGUGAAGCUCUCGUUUGAAGAUGCUGUUGAAAUGAUGCCUGCUCUGAAGAGAUAUGUCAAGAGCUUGGUGACUAACAAAGCCUCACCUAAGGAGAAUGUUAUGUCUAUCUCCAAAAGAUGUAGCACACUACUUCAGAACAGAGCACCAGAGAAGAUGGAAGAUCCUGGGAGUUUUGUGUUAUCAUGUGAGAUCGAAGGAGCUGUAUUCGAGAAAUCUCUCUGCGACUUGGGAUCUAGUGUGAACCUGAUGCCAUACACUGUGGCACAGAGGCUUGGUCUCACAAACUUCAGGUCAACGAAAAUCCAGCUAGUCUUCGCAGAUCGCUCAGUGAGACAUCCCGUCGGAGUUAUUUUAGACAUCGAUGUGGUGAUCGGAAACCAUAGAAUUCCUGCAGACUUUGUAGUGCUGGAGCUCGAUCAGGAGCCAAAGGACCCUCUCAUUCUGGGACGUCCAUUUCUGGCCACAACAGGAGCUAUCAUCGAUGUAAAGAAAGGGAAGAUAGAUCUCCAUCUGGGAGACAUAAUCAUGAAGUUCGAGGUGAAUAAGAUGCUGAAAAGACCCACACUGGAUGUACACACGUUCUCCAUCGAUCAUACCUCAGAAGAUGAUGAUGAAGAUGAUGAAGUAACUAAAUAGCUGCUGAGAGAUGACCCCCUAGAGAUUGCUCUUACUCUAGCUGAGAGUGAGCACGGGUAUUUAAACGAACACACUGCCGAAUUUGUCAAGAUGCUUGAUUCCGGUUUCCAAACAAAACACGAAGUAGCUUCUAUGAGCCUUGAAGAGGAAGAAUCACCAACACAAAAAGCUACUACAGACCACCUUAACCCCUGGAGCGAACUAAGAGCCCCAAAGAUAGAACUCAAAACCCUCCCAGCUGGGUUAAGGUAUGCAUUUCCUGGCCCUAAGUCAACUUACCCUGUUAUCAUAAAUGCUGAUUUGAAUAAUGCUGAGACUGCCUUACUUCUAUGUGAACUAAGAAAGUACCGUAAAGCAAUAGGCUAUUCACUAGAUGAUAUUCCUGGCAUCUCACCUGACCUUUGUAUGCAUAGAAUAUAUCUAGAGGAUGAAUCGAAGAAUUCUAUAGAACAUCAGAGGAGGUUAAACCCGAAUCUAAAAGAUGUUGUAAAGAAGGAGAUAAUGAAACUUCUAGAGGCUGGAAUAAUCUAUGCAAUCUCUGAUAGUAAAUGGGUUAGUCUUGUGCAUGUUGUGCCUAAAAAGGGUGGGAUAACAGUAAGAGCUAAUUCCCACUAGAACUGUCACUGGUCAUAGGAUGUGCAUAGACUAUAGAAAGUUGAAUGCUGCAACUAGGAAAGAUCAUUUUCCUCUCCCCUUUAUUGAUCAGAUGCUAGAAAGAUUGGCUAACCAUCCAUACUAUUGCUUUUUAGAUGGUUAUUCAGGAUUUUUCCAGAUUCCAAUUCAUCCAGACGAUCAAGAAAAGACCACAUUCACAUGUCCUUAUGGUACAUUCGCCUAUCGCAGGAUCCCAUUCGGUUUGUGUAACGCACCCACCCGCCACGUUCCAGCGGUGUAUGAUGUCUAUUUUUACUGAUAUGAUUGAAGAUAUAAUGGAAGUAUUCAUGGACGAUAUCUCUGUCUAUGGAUCUUCUUUCUCUGCUUGUCUUUCCAAUCUGUGCAGGGUACUUAGGCGGUGCGAGGAGAAAAAUCUGGUGCUGAACUGGAAAAAAUGCCAUUUUAUGGUUAGAGAUGGGAUCGUCCUUGGACACAAAAUUUCGGAAAAAGGCAUUGAAGUUGACAGGGUAAAGGUCGAGGUCAUGAUGAGUCUACAGCCACCCGAUUCAGUCAAAGGGAUCAGAAGUUUUCUAGGUCACGCAGGGUUCUACAGAAGAUUCAUUCAAGACUUCUCAAAAAUCACCAGGCCCAUGACCCGUCUGCUCUGCAAAGAGACCAAGUUUCAUUUUGAUAAAGAAUGCUUGGACGCUUUUCACACAAUAAAAGGAGCAUUAGUCAGCGCACCAAUUGUUCAACCACCAGACUGGGAAUUUCCUUUCGAGGUGAUGUGCGAUGCCAGCGAUUAUGCAGUAGGAGCUGUCUUGGGACAACGGAAGGAGAAGAAACUUCAUGUCAUCUACUACGCAAGCAGGACACUUGACGAUGCACAAUGCAACUAUGCCACCACCGAGAAGGAACUACUUGCCAUCGUCUUUGCUUUUGAGAAGUUUAGAUCCUAUCUUGUUGGAUCUAAAGUUAUAGUACACACUGAUCAUGCUGCGCUGAGGUAUCUACUUCAGAAGAAGGAUGCAAAGCCAAGGUUGCUGCGAUGGAUUCUCUUGUUGCAAGAGUUUGACCUGGUGAUCAAGGACAAGAAAGGGAUUGAGAACGGAGUCGCAGACCACCUCUCCAGGCUAAGAGUGGAAGAAGAGUUACCAUUGGCAGAUACUCUUCCCGUGGAGAACGUUUAUGCGGUGAGCAUCCAGUGCAAUGAUGGAUACGCACCUAUCAAGGACGCAAACAUCCCUAAAAUGCCUUGGUUUUCAGAAAUAGUGAACUACCUGGCCGGAGAACAAGAACCGCUCAAAUUCACCGGAAAUGACAAGAAGAAAUUCUUAAAAGACGUCAGACGCUAUCUCUGGGAUGAGCCAUUCUUAUAUAAGCAGUGUGCCGAUAAUAUUUACAGAAGGUGUGUUGCUGAAGAAGAGAUACCAGGCAUACUCUUCCACUGCCACAGUUCCAACUACGCGGGACAUUUUGCUGUAAGCAAAACCGUUUCGAAGAUCCUACAAGCUGGUUUCUGGUGGCCUAUGAUGUUCAAAGAUGCCCACUCCUUCAUCUCUAAGUGUGAUCCAUGCCAGAGACAGAGAAAUAUCAGCAAGAGGAAUGAAAUGCCACCAAACUUCAUCCUGGAAGUUGAGGUAUUUGACGUAUGGGGGAUCGAUUUCAUGGGACCAUUCUCAUCCUCUUACAACAAUAAGUACAUCCUUGUUGCUGUUGACUAUGUUUCCAAGUGGGUAGAGGCCAUAGCAAGUCCAACAAACGAUGCCACAGUGGUGGUAAAGAUGUUCAAAUCUGUCAUUUUUCCAAGAUUUGGGGUGCCAAGAGUGGUGAUUAGUGAUGGAGGAUCACAUUUCAUCAACAAAGUGUUCGAGAAGCUGCUGAAGAAGAAUGGCGUGAGACACAAGGUGGCGACUGCAUACCACCCUCAGACAAGCGGACAGGUCGAAAUCUCCAACCGAGAGAUCAAAAGCAUCCUACGGAAAACAGUGGGAGCAACAAGAAAAGACUGGUCAACCAAGCUAGAUGAUGCCUUAUGGGCAUACAGGACAGCAUACAAGACUCCUAUUGGCACCACUCCCUUUCACCUUAUCUAUGGGAAACCAUUCCAUCUCCCAGUAGAGUUGGAGUACAAAUCAUCUUGGGCUGUUAAACAGAUGAAUUUUGAUGUGAAACCCGCAGCUGAGAGAAGGAUGAUCCAGCUAAACGAAUUAGACGAGUUUCGACAUAUAGCAUUCGAAAACUCCAAGAUAUACAAGGAGCGCACAAAGGCGUAUCAUGAUAGGAAGAUCAUUCCGAGGACUUUUGCUGCAAAUGAUCAAGUCCUACUCUUCAACUCUCGCCUGAGGUUGUUUCCCGGGAAGCUUAAAUCCCGAUGGUCCGGGCCUUUCACUAUCAAAGAGGUAAAACCCUAUGGAGCAGUUGUGCUGUGGAGUCAAGAUGGUAGUGAGUUUGUUGUGACCGGUCAGCGUCUAAAGCCAUACCUAGCGUACACGGAAAUCUCCGAAGGAGAAGAUGUCUCUCUCGGAGAACCAUAGAAAGAUUGGCUAACCAUCCAUACUAUUGCUUUUUAGAUGGUUAUUCAGGAUUUUUCCAGAUUCCAAUUCAUCCAGACGAUCAAGAAAAGACCACAUUCACAUGUCCUUAUGGUACAUUCGCCUAUCGCAGGAUCCCAUUCGGUUUGUGUAACGCACCCACCCGCCACGUUCCAGCGGUGUAUGAUGUCUAUUUUUACUGAUAUGAUUGAAGAUAUAAUGGAAGUAUUCAUGGACGAUAUCUCUGUCUAUGGAUCUUCUUUCUCUGCUUGUCUUUCCAAUCUGUGCAGGGUACUUAGGCGGUGCGAGGAGAAAAAUCUGGUGCUGAACUGGAAAAAAUGCCAUUUUAUGGUUAGAGAUGGGAUCGUCCUUGGACACAAAAUUUCGGAAAAAGGCAUUGAAGUUGACAGGGUAAAGGUCGAGGUCAUGAUGAGUCUACAGCCACCCGAUUCAGUCAAAGGGAUCAGAAGUUUUCUAGGUCACGCAGGGUUCUACAGAAGAUUCAUUCAAGACUUCUCAAAAAUCACCAGGCCCAUGACCCGUCUGCUCUGCAAAGAGACCAAGUUUCAUUUUGAUAAAGAAUGCUUGGACGCUUUUCACACAAUAAAAGGAGCAUUAGUCAGCGCACCAAUUGUUCAACCACCAGACUGGGAAUUUCCUUUCGAGGUGAUGUGCGAUGCCAGCGAUUAUGCAGUAGGAGCUGUCUUGGGACAACGGAAGGAGAAGAAACUUCAUGUCAUCUACUACGCAAGCAGGACACUUGACGAUGCACAAUGCAACUAUGCCACCACCGAGAAGGAACUACUUGCCAUCGUCUUUGCUUUUGAGAAGUUUAGAUCCUAUCUUGUUGGAUCUAAAGUUAUAGUACACACUGAUCAUGCUGCGCUGAGGUAUCUACUUCAGAAGAAGGAUGCAAAGCCAAGGUUGCUGCGAUGGAUUCUCUUGUUGCAAGAGUUUGACCUGGUGAUCAAGGACAAGAAAGGGAUUGAGAACGGAGUCGCAGACCACCUCUCCAGGCUAAGAGUGGAAGAAGAGUUACCAUUGGCAGAUACUCUUCCCGUGGAGAACGUUUAUGCGGUGAGCAUCCAGUGCAAUGAUGGAUACGCACCUAUCAAGGACGCAAACAUCCCUAAAAUGCCUUGGUUUUCAGAAAUAGUGAACUACCUGGCCGGAGAACAAGAACCGCUCAAAUUCACCGGAAAUGACAAGAAGAAAUUCUUAAAAGACGUCAGACGCUAUCUCUGGGAUGAGCCAUUCUUAUAUAAGCAGUGUGCCGAUAAUAUUUACAGAAGGUGUGUUGCUGAAGAAGAGAUACCAGGCAUACUCUUCCACUGCCACAGUUCCAACUACGCGGGACAUUUUGCUGUAAGCAAAACCGUUUCGAAGAUCCUACAAGCUGGUUUCUGGUGGCCUAUGAUGUUCAAAGAUGCCCACUCCUUCAUCUCUAAGUGUGAUCCAUGCCAGAGACAGAGAAAUAUCAGCAAGAGGAAUGAAAUGCCACCAAACUUCAUCCUGGAAGUUGAGGUAUUUGACGUAUGGGGGAUCGAUUUCAUGGGACCAUUCUCAUCCUCUUACAACAAUAAGUACAUCCUUGUUGCUGUUGACUAUGUUUCCAAGUGGGUAGAGGCCAUAGCAAGUCCAACAAACGAUGCCACAGUGGUGGUAAAGAUGUUCAAAUCUGUCAUUUUUCCAAGAUUUGGGGUGCCAAGAGUGGUGAUUAGUGAUGGAGGAUCACAUUUCAUCAACAAAGUGUUCGAGAAGCUGCUGAAGAAGAAUGGCGUGAGACACAAGGUGGCGACUGCAUACCACCCUCAGACAAGCGGACAGGUCGAAAUCUCCAACCGAGAGAUCAAAAGCAUCCUACGGAAAACAGUGGGAGCAACAAGAAAAGACUGGUCAACCAAGCUAGAUGAUGCCUUAUGGGCAUACAGGACAGCAUACAAGACUCCUAUUGGCACCACUCCCUUUCACCUUAUCUAUGGGAAACCAUUCCAUCUCCCAGUAGAGUUGGAGUACAAAUCAUCUUGGGCUGUUAAACAGAUGAAUUUUGAUGUGAAACCCGCAGCUGAGAGAAGGAUGAUCCAGCUAAACGAAUUAGACGAGUUUCGACAUAUAGCAUUCGAAAACUCCAAGAUAUACAAGGAGCGCACAAAGGCGUAUCAUGAUAGGAAGAUCAAAAAAAAAAAAAAAAAAAAAAAAACUUUUCCAUCGAUCGAUCCAAACCGGAUCGAUCGAUCACUAAGAUGGUGCAAUGCGGAACAAAGUGAUCGAUCGAUUAGGUACUCCCAUCGAUCGAUGCGGAUACCCAAUCGAUGGAUCGCACAAAAACUCGGAAGCCUUUUUAUAAAUGCAUCGAUCGAUCCAUAUUGUUACAAAAAUGCAUCGAUCGAUUACUAUAAUGGCCAAAUGCGUAACAAAGUGAUCGAUCGAUCGUGUUAUCCAAUCGAUCGAUCAUACUAAAUCUCGGGAGCCUUUUUAUAACCGCAUCGAUCGAUCUGUUUUUGUACAAAAACGCAUCGAUCGAUGCGUGUGUGGGAAACGGAAUUAUAACGCAAAACCCGACCUUUUUGGAUCAAAACCUCAGAAUGUUCAAGUCUGGGGGAAUUGAUGUGUCUAGGUUUUUGGUGCUUGUUUAUAUAUUUUUUAUUAUAUUUUUCUCGAUUAUUUGUAGUUUUUCGUUCGUGUUUCAGGUAUAUAGGUGAUUGAGCGCGUUAGGAACCAUUGGCAUGUGCAUACUGGAAUUUCAAGGGAUUUUCAUGUCCAUCUGAAGGGGUUAUAGCGCAGAACGAACAACGGAUCGAACCGAGAUGCGAAGAAAAAGAAGAGAAAAAGAACCCAUCGAUCGAUGGGUUUUUCAAUGAAAACCCAUCUAUCGAUGCAUCCUCGCUGUGUCCAGCUUCACCCACGUUCUCCACUUCACCUACUGCGUUUGGAACAGGAUUUGAGAUGAUUUAGGGAUUGAGAAAUUUUUUUUCAAUUUGGUUUUUUUUUUUUAUCACAACUCGAUUUCGCCUUUCAUUUGCAUGUUGAUAUUGAGAUCUUAAUUGAUUAUAACCAUGUUGAAAGCAAAUAGUCGUUGAAAUACAUAUUGGAAUGAUGAACUUGGGGAAUGAACGGAUUAUGGAUUGAUGUUCUUUACCUGAGUCGCUAGUGUUUACUGAACUCGUGUUAGUAUUGUGCUGCUUUGAAAAACAUAUACUGCAUACUCACUUGUUUCAAAGAUUCUAUUUUGUAGAGAGUGAAGCGCACAAAAACAUCAGCAAAGAAGAACACACAAGAAGAGGGUUCAUCUCAGCGAGAGAAGCAAAGGCCAAAGAAGUGGGAUAAGUCUGAUACCACCCACUACAACAACAUGAAGAAGGUAGUCGUACCGGCUACACAACUAGCAUGUCCUGAGACGAUGACGGAGUUGGGAAUCAAAGCAGACAUUGAGGGGCUGUUCCAGAACAUGGGUCUAGGCCAACUAUGCAACCUCAACAAACCCACUUAUCCGGAGUUGGUACGCCAGUUCAUAGCAUCCGCAUACGUCAGCCAUCCCGAUGAUAGCCAUCAGGAAGGUUUUCUGGCAUUCAUAGUGCAGAAAGUAUACUUUGAGGUAUCUUUCACAGACCUCUGCGGACUAUUUGAAUUGAGUGCAGGGGAGAGGACAUCUGGUCUUUAUUGGACUUCAGAGCUGUUGAACUUCUGGGAAACGAUUGGCACAGGGGUUUAUAGAUCUUCUCAGGUAAAGGAGUCACUUAUCCGGAACCCAGUACUGAGAUAUGCCACACGCCUCAUUGGCUCAUUGCUAUACGGGACAACCACAGCUGCAUCAGUCACGCAAUGGGAGUUGUGCCUCAUGUACCAAGGUGUGAGGCAUUUGCUACCGGCAUUUGGGAACUCUACAUUCCCACCUGCUACUGCCUUCAACAUGGGAGCGGUGCUGGCCGCGAACUUAGCAGGAUACAAGGGGAAAGUAACCAAAUCCAAGAGCAAUGCAUGUGGAUUUGGUGCAGUGAUUACUCGCUCUGGUUCGGGUUCGAGUGGUACACACAGGGCAAGAAAGAAGUCCAAAAGACCCGAACAUGCAGGAACAUCUGGAGCAGGAGACGAGGAGUAGGAGCUAUCACCGGCCAGUAUUGUCAUUUGAUUUCCGACCGCGCUAUUUUAUUUCUAUUCUAACGUUUUAUGGUUUUAUUUUCUGUUGUCACACUAGGAACGGUGUAAACUAAGUCUGGGGGAGGGUACUUGUCAUAGUUCCAUUUAGGAAUCUACCAUAACUUUUUCGGUUAAUUUUGAACUUAGUUUUUUUUAUUUAUUUAUUUGAGUUCGUAUUUUUUUUUACGUGGUUUCUUCGUUUUAUUUGGUUGUUUUUUGAGUAGUUUUUAAUUCGUAUUCAGCUUUGCCUUGCUAAAUAAACCAAAUAACUAAUAUUUGAGUACCAUUCUUUCAGCUAUCAACUGCAGGCUGUGAAACAUGGAAAAGCCACAAACAUUGAUCAACCAACAACAUCCAUGCUUUUAAGAAUGUUCAAGGAAUUCAAACUGAUUGACCACUCAAUCUACUCAAAUUUUCUCAUCUUGGGGCUUGGUAUACACUAGAUCGGAAUCCUCUUCAGGACUAAAAGACGAAGUCUAUAUCGGUCUGGCUCCCCUCUCUUUCCCCUUCGAAAAAAUAAUAAUGCUAAUAAUAGGGGAUAAAGGUCAAAAAGAAGUGAUCAGGGCUUGGUGGCUGCAACCAUUAAGACUUGAAUCAUAGAAGCCUGUCAAAAAAAAAAUGUGAAACAUUUGGUUCCCUAUGUGCCGCAGGAUGAGCCCAAAGAUUCGAGGGUGAAUCUUUUCUUACCCCGGGGGACCUGAUGCAGCGUCAUCCUACUUCUUCUUGGCUUUGGUGUUUACUCUAUUUUCCUUUUCUUAAAGUUUACUUAUUUGUUUCGAGCUUUAUCUCCUUUUCUUGUCAUAGAAGAUAAGGAAAACUUAUGAUCCUUAUUCUUUAGGGUUUUACUUAUUAUUUACUAUAUAUAUCGAUGCCUUAGGUGUUGUAAGGGCACGACUUAUUUGAUUAAUAAACAGAGCUUUUAUAAACUCUAAACCUUGUUCUCGGAUAGAGCUUGACUCUCAACGAUCUCAAGAAGGCACGUUUCCUAGGUAUUCUCAGAAUCAAUAGGCUACUUGCGUUAUAAGUAACCUCAGGUUACACCAGUUGGUAUCAGAGACCUACGGUUUUGAUUUCUUAAUCAAGACUUCUUACGAUCUUUGCUAUCCACCUAUCUCCGGUUACUCUUUACCUCGUCAUUAUCAUGCCCCCACGUAAGCAAACGCCCGAAGAAUUACAAGAGGAGCUUCGCAAUACUCUUGAAACCUUCACGGCUUCGCUUCACGAUACUCUCAUACAGGCCGUUGAAACUGCUCUGACGACAGUGCUUCAACGUCAACAAAACAACCCACAGGCCAACAUUGCUCAUCGUCAUCCUCGUGCCGACGAUUCAGAUGAAGAUUUGGCAGAAAAUCUUUUUGCCGAUGGCAACCAACAGGAACAACGUAACCACGAUCGUAUCGCCGCUCCAGCUGAUCACCAAAUCAACAGACGCGAAGUUCAGCCUGAAGAAAGACAAUGGGAAAGAGGGUUUCGGAUUGAGAUUCCAGAAUUUAACGGCAAUCUUAGCACAGAAGAAUUUUUGGAUUGGCUUAGUGCGAUCGAGGAAAUUCUAGAGUUCAAACGCAUUCCAGAAGACCAGUGUGUUCCUUUAAUCGCUUCCCGUUUCAAAAACAGAGCAAUGGCAUGGUGGCAACAGAUUAAAGAAUCGCGACGACGAGCGGGAAAACCUCGCAUUGAUACUUGGGAGCGUCUCAAAAAGCAUAUGCGAAGGGCUUUUCUCCCUUACAACUACGAGCGCACUCUCUACAACAAACUCCAAGCUCUGCGUCAGGGUGGUCGGACAGUGGACGAGUAUGCAAUAGACUUCUUCCACAUGGUGUCCCGAACAGCACUUGUUGAAACAGAGGAACAACUCGUCUCACGUUUUAUAGGGGGUCUUCGCUAUCAAAUUCAAAUCGCCUUACAGCAGUUCAAUCCUCUCACAGUCUCUGAAGCUCACCAACGUGCAUUGGCGAUGGAAAUUCAAUACCGUUCAACUUGGAACACAGGAAACUCGAGGAAUCGAUCGACGACUCAAGCCGUCGACUCCAACACAACGACUAGUUCGGAUGCAUCUCCAUCUCGGCCGGCAGUAGCUCGUACUGGUACUAAUACACCAACAGACAGGAUUGUUCAAACUCGUCCUGCACGAACAGGUGCUCUUCGUUGUUUUACUUGCGGUGAGACGGGACAUAGGCAAACGGCGUGUCCAAAUCAGCACAAACGAGGGUUGCUGAACCAAGACACCAACCUUGAUGAAGAACCUAAGUAUGAUCAAUAUGACUCGGACACUCUGGCGGAGGACGAGAUCGAGUAUAUUGCAGGGGACACAGGAGCACAUGCCUUGAUAGUACGACGAAACUGCUUGCUUCCGCGCUCUACUCAAGAAUCAUGGUUGCGAACAACUCUGUUUCGCUCCACUUGCACUAUUAACGGUAAAAUAUGCAAACUCAUCAUUGAUUCAGGGAGUUGCACAAAUGUAAUCUCUACAAUUGCGGUCAAGAAGCUAGACCUCAAGACCAUGGUUCACCCGUCACCGUAUAAACUUGCAUGGCUCAACAAGGGAACGGAAAUAACUGUAUCACGUCAAGUGAUGAUCUCCUUCUCCAUUGGUGGUUAUCUUGACUCUGUUUGUUGUGACAUUGUCCCGAUGGACGCAUGUCAUCUUCUUCUUGGUCGACCUUGGCAAUACGACAAGGACGCGACUCACCGUGACAAAACUAAUACCUAUAGUUUUGAAUUUAAGGGUCGCACAAUUACGUUGCGUCCAUCUCCGGAACCGUCGGCAGUGGACGAGUUACCGGCAACAAGUACUUCAUCACCGACACCUGCAACACCAGCUCGCACUCUUCUCACUCUUCCCAAGGCGGAAUUCGAAAAGCACUUACGCGAGACUGACGUGGUAUGGGCACUGGUCGCUUCUCCUGUGAUAUCGGACCCGAGUAGCGUGGUCCCUAAGGCAUUUGACUCUUUGCUAGACAGCUUUGCCGAUGUCUUUCCGAGUGAUCUUCCCACCGGUCUCCCUCCUUUGCGCGAUAUUCAACACCACAUUGAUCUCAUGCCCAAUGCUACGCUUCCAAAUCGACCUCAUUAUCGGAUGAGCCCUCAAGAACAUGAUGAGUUGCGUCGCCAGGUCGAGGAGCUUCUAGCUAAGGGUCACAUACGCGAAAGUCUUAGUCCUGCAGCAGUUCCGGCACUCUUAAUUCCCAAGAAAGACGGUUCAUGGCGUAUGUGCGUUGAUAGUAGAGCAAUUAACAAAAUAACUGUACGCUAUUGUUUCCCAAUUCCGAGGCUUGACGGCCUAUUAGACCAAAUUGGUCGUGCUUCCAUCUUCUCUAAACUAGAUCUUAAGAGUGGUUACCAUCAGAUUCGCAUUCGUCCAGGUGAUGAGCGGAAAACUGCUUUUAAAACUCGUGAGGGUUUGUUUGAGUGGUUAGUCAUGCCAUUCGGUCUUUCGAACGCACCUAGCACAUUCAUGCGAGUCAUGAAUCAAGCCCUCCGGCCUUUCAUUGGCAAAUGUGUUGUCGUGUACUUCGACGACAUCCUCGUCUUUAGUGAGACGUUGGACAGUCAUCUUAACCACCUCCGUGAUGUCCUUCAAGUGUUGCGACAGCAAGAACUCUUUGCGGCAAGAAAGAAGUGUGUGUCUGAUGCAGCGUCAUCCUACUUCUUAUUGGCUUUGGUGUUUACUCUAUUUUCUUUUUCUUAAAGUUUACUUAUUUGUUUCGAGCUUUAUCUCCUUUUCUUGUCAUAGAAGAUAAUGAAAACUUAUGAUCCUUAUUCUUUAGGGUUUUACUUAUUAUCUACUAUAUAUAUCGAUGCCUUAGGUGUUGUAAGGGAUGACUUAUUUUGAUUAAUAAACAGAGCUUUUAUAAACUCUAAACCUUGUUCUCGGAUAGAGCUUGACUCUCAACGAUCUCAAGAAGGCACGUUUCCUAGGUAUUCUCAGAAUCAAUAGGCUACUUGCGUUAUAAGUAACCUCAGGUUACACCACNNNNNNNNNNNNNNNNNNNNNNNNNNNNNNNNNNNNNNNNNNNNNNNNNNNNNNNNNNNNNNNNNNNNNNNNNNNNNNNNNNNNNNNNNNNNNNNNNNNNGGUUUGGGGCUGCAAUGGUGCUGAAUGUGUAUCAAGUUGAUCAAAACGAGUUUGAGGUGAAGGAUGAAACUAUGAAGUAUGUUGUUGAUUUGGAGAAACGGCAUUGCACUUGUAAUGUUUUCGACAUUGACAAGAUUCCCUGCAUUCAUGCAAUUGCUGCUGCUAAGUAUAUUAAGAGAGAUGAAAACCGUUACGUCGAUACUUCUCACUUGACAGAAACGUGGGCUAAAGCCUAUGCCGAAAGCAUACACCCUGGUGGAGAGUUGUCAACGUCCACCUAUAUAGCGAAUAUUGACGAACUGUCUUGCCCACCUCCAGCUACCAAAAAGAGAAGUGGACGUCCUCCUACAAAGAGAAAGAGAUCCGUUGGCGAGUUUGGUGUUCUUGGAUCUAAAUUGAUGUGUCUAAUUUUUGGUACUUGUUUAUAUAUUUUUUAUUAUAUUUUUCUCGAUUAUUUGUAGUUUUUCGUUCGUGUUUCAGGUAUAUAGGUGAUUAAGCGCGUUGGGAACCAUUGGCAUAUGCAUACUGGAAUUUCAAGGGAUUUUCAUAUCCAUCUGAAGGGGUUAGAGCGCAGAACGAACGACGGAUCGAACCGAGACGCGAAGAAAAGGAAGAAAAAAAUAAUCCAUCGAUCGAUGGGAGAUCAUGAGCCGGAGGUUUUCUUUUAAAUGCAUCGAUCGAUGCGUUAGAGCCCAUAAACCCAUCGAUCGAUGCAUCCUCGCUGUGUCCAGCUUAACCAACUUCCUCCACUUCACCUACUGCAUCCACUCGUCUUUCAUGAUGAAAUUAGAGCCUUUGUCGAAAAAGGAGGGUCCUUGGCCGAUUAUAAAUAGGGAGGACGAGAUCCAUAUGAAAACACACCAUCUUAGAGAUCAAAACUUGAGAGAAAAUAGAUUUGUGAGUGUUUUUCUUGUUUGAAGAUUUGUUUGAGUUUGAAGUUUGUAGAAGAAGAAGAGAAUCCCUUUCUCUUCCCAGAGAAGCUUCUAAACCCUCUUGUUUUCUUUAUUUUCUUUAAUAAUGUCAAUUAUGAAUUCUGUUUUUGGUUCCAUGUGUGAGUAAUCUACUAGUUAGGCUAAGGUGAUUCAAAGGAAUCCAUGAAUCCAUGAAACUGAUAUGUUAAAGAAAAGGGGUAAAUCAUUUGGUUCUUCAUCUAGAUCGAUCUUAAAGCUUGAAUUAGAAGGUACACCUAGUUCUUGAUCAUUAGGAAGUUCAACACACCAAAAGUGAUAGUUAAACUCCUGAAAAGAAUCUAGAUGAGCAAGUCUUCGUAACCAACGAGAGUUGUUGUUAUGGAAUUUGUGAACAAAUCGAACCUGUUAAAAUGCAUGUUUAGAAUUAUGAAUAUGGCGAGAGUUGACAUUUAAGAUUCUAAAACAUAGGAUUUAGUACUGCGAGAGUAGGCUAAAUUAUUUAAGCUGUUUGAGUUCAAGAACGGUUCUAAAACAUACCUCUUGUUUAAUGUUUGUUUCUCGAUUUAUGUCAUUCCCGAGAAUUACCCGAUGCCUAACGUUUUAAUCUAUAAUUUAAAUUUCAUUUUAAUUUAUUUACAAGUUGUGACAAUUAAAAGCUACCAAACAAACAAUCAUUUUCGUUCUAGCUUGACUUUACUCUAAUAGAUUCAUAGUGUAACUUUGGUCUCUGUGGAAUUCGAUCCCUAAAUACUACUGCGCACUACCGUGCACUUGCGGUUGGUUUUAGUGGUAAAACCUGAGCACAUCAGAAAUACCACAGAUUAUGUCAAGUCCUGCCGUAUAUGGACAUGAUUUGAACUUUUCAAAGCUGAUGGAGAUGCAAGAGUCAACAUCCAUGUCUGGCUAUGGUCUGUCCCCAUUUAAUCAAGAAUCAGCCACCUCAAACUCCACAGCAGAGUUUUCUUCUUAGUCAUUGGAGUAUCAAAGGCUGUGAGCAUAUUGCCUUUUAUCUUGAAUUAACUUCAGACUCCAUAUCAUUAAAAGUUGUUUGAAACCUUACGUUGGAAUAUAAUUUAUGCUUACCAUGAAAAUUCCUAGUGUUUAAUCCUGGUCAGAUCAUAUCUGGUCACGAUAUCUUUCUAUCUCCCUGCGUAUAAAAGCUGCUGAAAUCUAUUUUCCAAA
Molecule: long non-coding RNA, 55426 nt
Filed under: Brassica napus (rape)
Lineage: Eukaryota; Viridiplantae; Streptophyta; Magnoliopsida; Brassicales; Brassicaceae
Description: long non-coding RNA (BNAP_LNC012614)
Source: RNAcentral